This 77915-nucleotide long non-coding RNA is filed under the name Triticum aestivum (bread wheat). RNAcentral's name for it is "long non-coding RNA (TAES_LNC022586)". Lineage: Eukaryota; Viridiplantae; Streptophyta; Magnoliopsida; Poales; Poaceae. The record is from RNAcentral.
UUUGCAUAGCCAUCAUAACUUCUGAUCUCCUACCAUGCAGAAAAACAACAGAUCUAAAUUACACCUCUUCAGCAUUUGGUGAAUAAUCGUUACGAAUGUGUGGUACCACCGCACGUUAGAAACGGUCUGAGGUCUAUUUUGAGUGCAUAAUUUUUUCCCCGUCAAAGCUUUUUUGUCUACAUCCUUCUGUUUUUCUGGGUGCUAAGGUUAAACAAGCUGUAUCCAGUUCUCGUUUUGCCAAUAAAGAAGUGUACCCAGUACUGAUGUAUGUAUGUCCUACGAGACGGUACAUCUUACUGCUGUGCCUAGCAUAUGAUUCCAGUCUGUCUCUCUGAAAUACAUGGAAAGAAGAAGCAACACACCAUCUCCCAGGCCAAUUAUAUAUGUGGCACAUGCUUUCGUCACCAGACAUGCGUUAAGCAGGCUUCUUGUGUUAUUGUUAUGUCUGAACUGGCCGUUUUCUUUCUUUCCAUUUCUUUUUUAGAUGGAAGAUCCGUGACUUGCCUGAUAGAUCCAUUUCUUUUUUGAAAAAAGAAAAUUUCAAUCUUGUAACCCUCACUGGGAGCGCCUUGGGCAUCCAACAACGAGAAACUGGAUUGGGGCCGCCUGGGCCUCCCAAUGGGCCGAGGGCCAUAGCACUACCAGGCCCCUGGGACGAACGCGCACUUACACAAGCAAAAGGACACCCUCAAGGGAAAAGAAAGGGAAAAGGACGAUCCCACGCUUCGACUCCCAAAAAACAAAAAAUUGCCUAAAAAGCCGCUUGAUGUUUAAGAACAGGAAGACAGAUAGCAAAUGCAGUGUUCGUACACUCAUUAAUGGAGCUUAAGGCAAGGACCAGCUGUACAAAUCCAAGCGUGAUUUCUCUGUCAGUACUGUCCGGACAAUGAUAAUCACUUGGUCCUUCCCAACUGGCUCUUGUUUGUGUCCCUUGCAUAAAGCACUCAUUCAUUGAACGGCGGCUCCGUGGGUGCAUCUUCAGAUUUAGACACCGACAGACCCAUUUAUCGUCGGAGGAUGUGUGGACGUGUAUCUUCAUCGGAUUUCAUGGGAUUCGGUCGAUGCUGGUCUUCAAUGGAUCUAUCUGGAUCCAGUUCUCAUUCGUCUUCAUUCGUGUGGUUAUAGGUUUGAUUUUUCUGAUCUACGACUCUUCAUCGCCGAUGGUUGCUUCUCUGGUGCUCUGGUCCUUUGAGGCCGUAGCACGACGAUUUUCGGACCGUCUACUAUAAUAAGGUUUGUCCGAUUCCAGUGAAGGAGGGUGAUGACGGUGGCGUGUCUUCGGCUCGCUCCAGUGCUUCUAGUCGUCACUAGGUAGUCCAUGAAGGUUGUAAUUUUCAUUACCUCUAGUCUUUUUUUACUGUCAUGAUUGAUCAUGAAUAGAUUGGAAAGUUCUCUCGCAAAAAAUAAUACUACAUGAAGACUAUGUUAUGUAUUAAAGCAAAUAAAACUAGGUUUAACGAGUUUUCCUUGUAACACCAAAAUGCAAAGGAAGUGAGUCUGGCUCGCUUGGUCGGGGACAGAAUGUACAUCGCCCCAUCAUCUUGGCUUCCGUUUCUAUUGGGAAACAGUACAAGCAAACAAGGAAAAAAUGCAAAGACAAAUGUUAUUUACGAAACAUCUUUUUUGUAGGCCAUUUACUUCAGUCUAUAGUUUAUAUAUAGUUCCUACAAACAUGACACUCACAAUAUAAGGAAUGUUGUACGAAGGUAGAGUUGACUCUCGAGCUACGAACAAAAAGGCUAUGAAGGUACAGCUCAAGCAUUAUACAACAUGGUGGCUAUAAACAAAGAUCUUACAACAUACUGUAUGCCCAAGCAAACGGUGUCUUUGAUGUCUCGUAUUUUUGUAGAUAAAGAAAAGGAAGUAGUAGAUGCAAAUUGCUUUUAUUUCCAAACACGCACCAAGAUCCACUGUAGCAGGAGCCACAGUUCGGAAACAAGAAGGGACAGGUCCUUUGCCUGCACGGACGCGCUAUUAAAGGCAAAAUAAAAUAACCUUCCGGAAAAUGACACUGCACAUAAUGCCUGCCUGCUCCAGUCCGGUGAAAGUUUGCAGGGCACUGUGUAGUGUAUGCAUGUGAAAGGACAGCUCGCUACUACUACUACUAUGGUAAAUUCAUCAAUCAAUGCUCGCCGGUCCGGUACUCCAGUUGGUAGUCGUAGUAAAACCCCAAUCUGAUAUCGAGACCUGAAAACCAACCAGUACUCCUUCCAAAUAAGAAAAUAAAGGUAGGAGUACUAGCAUCCCCGCCGUUCGUUUUUCUAGCCGUUGCAGUUUAAUUAAUUGGUAUACAACCAUUAUCAUUCUUAAUCUGCAUGACCGUGCUGUCCACAAGGCGUGCAUGCGCCAAAACAUCCUUAUUUUUCUGCCAGUUUUAAGGUGAGUGAGUGACUCCUUUCCAUUUGCUUUUUUUAGGGUACCUUUCCAUUUGCUGUAAAAUUGAAUGUACCGCGAUUGACUUUUUGAAGAAAAGGCGAGAGCCCGGCUUUAUAAAUAAAGCCAUGCGGCAGAGUACCACAUAAUGCAUCCAAGAGUUCAUCGAACAGAAAUGUAAGUUCAAAGGCGCGCAGGCCAAAACCACACAUAACUGGCAUGCAGGCCAACAACCUACUGCUACGGACGGGAUCCAAAACAUGACGAUCAGGCGAAGGUAGUAGAUGACAUCAAGCUUGCCGACGCCCGAACCUUGUUGAUCAACUCCUCCAAACCGCCCACAUCUGCUGGCUUAGUCAAUAAUUUCCACUGCUGCAAGAAGAUAGACAUUUUAAACAAGACAUCAGCUGGCUUGUUAGGGAAGACACCCUCAAUGGUGAACUUGUUCAUAAUAGUCCAAAGUGACCAACAUAGGGCCCCCAACCCGAUCAAGAAGAGCCUCUUUGUACGACCUUGAAUAGUAUCGGUUAGGGUCCGAAGAUCCGUAAAAGAGGUAGGGGCCCAAGAGACAUUCAUCCACGAUCUGACCCCUCCCCAGGCCAACUUUGCCAGAGGGCAAUCGAGAAAAAUAUGAUUGGUAUUCUCCACAGCAGAGCAUAAAGCACAAAAGGCCGAACCAGGCCCAUUCCUCUUACGAAUCUGGUCAGCCGAAGGCAAACAACCUCUAAUGGCCUGCCAAAGGAAGAUCUUAAUCUUAGGUGGGAUUAUAGCCGCCCAGACCUGUUUAAACUUAGACGUGGGAGAGCCAUCAAUGAGCCUAGCAUAGACAGACUUGACCAAAAAAACACCCGAGGUGGUGUGGGGCCAGGUCACUGAGUCCUCCUCCUCUGAGAGACGAGGGAACAAGGCAGCAAGCCGAUGCCAGUCCUCCAAUUCUUCAGGAGAGAGGGUUCUCCGGAGACCCAAGCCCCAGCCCUUGCAUGAGAGCUCAGAGAUUGAGAUCCCAGGCUCCGAAAAAUAAGAAAACAAAACCGAGAAGGAGGAUGGUAAAGGUGCAUCCCCAGUCCACCAAUCCAACCAGAAGCGAGUCGAGGCACCAUUCCUGACAAUAAACUUGGCGUGCUCGCGGAAAACAUCCCUGAUCCUAAUCAUUUCCCUCCAAAACUGAGACCCAUAGGUCGUCGAGGCGAACAUGGGGCUGCCGAAAGGGAAAUAUUUAGCUUUCAAGGUAUCGAACCAGAGGGUCCCAGGGGAAGCAUGCAUGAUCCUCCACCACCACAUAAUGAUAAGGCACUUAUUCAUCACUAAUGUAUUAAGGAUUCCCAGCCCCCAAGGCUUUUAGGCCUCCAAAUGGCCUUCCAUUUGACAAGCCUGUAUUUACGCUUAUUAUCCGAAGAAUUCCAAUAGAAAGCCCCCUGUGUUUAUCAAAGCCCGCAUGAGUGCCCAGGGAAAGCAUGAAAAAACCCAUCAUGAACAUAGGCAAGGAAGAUAGACAAGCAUUGACGAGGCACACUUUCCCUGCCUGAGUAUUAUAUCUGCCGCGCCAAGGCAUGACUAUGUUACCCACUUUAGCCACCAGAGGUUUGAAUUCUUUAGCAUGCAGAUGGUAGGGGGAAAUAUGCAUGCCCAGGUAUUUAAAGGGAAAGGACACGAGUGAGAAGUUAAGUAACUGGGCCACCCUUAGGGCCUCCGCCUCGUCAACCCCGGUCACGAUGACCUCACUUUUGAAAAAAUUGAUCUUAAGCCCCGAAAAGACUUCAAAGCAUAACAUGAUGAAGUUGAGGUUAACAAGACAUGCCUCGUUCAUCUCCACCAAGAUGAUCGUGUUGUCAGCAUACUGGAGAUGCGUAAUUCCGCGAGCGAGAAGGUGGGAUACGACAGGGGUACUAUGACUAGCCGAAGCCGCACGAUCCAACAUACAUGAUAAGGCAUUGGCCACAAAAUUAAAAAGAAUAGGAGAGGCAGGAUCUCCUUGCCGUAGGCCACGACCGUUGGCGAAAUAUUUGGUGGUCAUGCCAUUCACUGCCACGACCGUGUGGCCCCCAGAGACCAGUUUGCAUCAGUGUGUGUACCACACCCGCAUCAAACCCUUUUGCCAAUAAGACCUGGAGAAGGAAGUCCCAACUAACAGAGUCAUAGGCCUUUUCGAAAUCAAGUUUGAGAAUCAGGGCUCGGGAACCUCUCCAACGCAGAUCAUGCAAAAUUUCAUGAAGGCAAAGAACUCCAUCAAGGAUGAAUCUACUCUUGAUGAAAGCAGUCUGGGUGGGACUAAUGGUACGGUGUACCACCGGAGACAGCCUAGUCUCGAACCAUUUGGAAGGAAACUUAGCAAAGUUAUUAAUCAGGGUAAUUGGGCGAAAAAGGGAGAUAUUGUCAGCGCCCUUGACUUUAGGGAUGAGGGUUAGGAUGGCGUAAUUCAAACGGGAUAUGUCCACCGUCCCUAGACAGAAACCUUAGAUGACCGCACAUACCAAAGGGCGUAGCACCGACCCUAAGCGAUGAAAAAACGGGAUAGAAAAGCCAUCGGGGCCGGAUGCCGAGUUAGAAUUAGCAGAGUCGAUCGCCCUUUCAAUCUCCUCCACAGAUGAGGGGGUCACGAGGACACUAUUUUCCUCGUCCGAGACCCGACAGUGAUUAACCCAUAGGUUGGGUGAGAUAAUAAAGCCAAAGGCCGGUCUAGCGGCUAAAAGCCCAGCAAAGAACUCAUGGACGUGAUCCAAAAUAGCAUGAGGAUCAGAGAUUUGGGCCCCGUUAAUGACCAGGCUAUUAAUCAAGCACCUACUGCGUCGAUCGUUAGCAAUGGCAAAGAAAUACACACUAAGGCAAUCUCCUUUCAAGGUCCAGUUAACGGUACCACAUUGCUUCUAGUAAACCUCGGAUUGACGGUGAAGAUGUAAAAGGCAGGCUUCCAAGUCAUAUCUAUGUUGCCAGCCAGCGGGAGAAAGCCCAGCAGAAUCUGCCUCCGCAUCUAAGGCAACAACUUGCUCCAGCAGCUCACGCUUGUCCAACCACCUCAUCAACAACUAUAGGUUCUCCAAUAAGCACUCCAAAAGCCAUCAGGAACUGGAUGUUUCCAAGCCCGGACGGAACAUCCUCGAGAAGCACCCAAGUUUCAGAAAAGGAGGCCACCACCUUUGCCCUGUCAACUGUUGCCUUGACAGAGGCCGAUGAGGACGCUACGACGUUGUCCUUUGUCAACCGGCUGGAAGCCUUGGACACCUUUGUUGAGAAGCACCUUGACCUCACCACAAAAGUUGCGGCUCCUAAGCCGCCGGUCGGUGGCCCGGUGCACUGAGUCGAGGAGGAGGAGGUCAUACGUUGAUGGAUGCAUAUUUCUUCUUGCCUCCAGUAACCACCACUGCGAUCGCAUCAUCGUGGCCUUAAUUCUUAUUGUGCUAUUGCAUUCCUGUUCUAGUCAAUAAAGACAUGUGCGAUCCCUUUGCUCACAUUUGGAGGCAAUUAUAUGCAUCACUCUAACUAGUACUCCAUCCAUCAAUUUAUAAGUUGAGCUUACCUUUUCCAUCAACUUCGUAAUUUACGUUCGAUGCUUGACCCGACCUACGAACUACUCCUAAAUUCAAAAACUGAGACCGAACUUAUAAAUUCAAAACUACUCGUGCAACACGCCUGUCACGUUCGCAAGUUCAAAACGAGAAACUGGAACACGAUAAUGAAGCAUGUUCCUUCCCCGUCGCAUACCACACUAUCGUUUCGGCCCCCCGGUCAACGCGCAUUGGCCAGGCUUUAUAUCACUACAACAUGUGGGACUGCAUGUGACCAAACCGACGAUGCGUCACCCUAGCUAGUACCCUGCUUAUUAUCUAGAGGGAAAAGCCCUGCCCUAGCGUUUCCAAUCGUUAUUUCUAUCCAUCGAUCGUGCCAAGGAGCAGAACCAAAUGUUACAAUUUAUACAUGUUUCUCUACUCCUAUAAAAGACUCAGUUGGUGAUGAUGGUGUGUCUGCCAUCCGUCAUUUCUGACCAUUAGAUCUGCAUCUAACAGCUGUGAGGUAAGUUGUGGCAUUUUUGCAACAAAAAAUAGCCCACUUCUCUGCUCCAAUUUGCAGAAAACCAUUUAUUAUCUUGAAAGCAACUACAUCCCUCCGUCACCUCAUCAAAACAGCCUAAGAAAUAUAUUUUGAGUGAAACAUGAUAUAUUUUUAGUGGUAUAUGUAUAUCAAAACAAGAAUGUUUUCUUUCAAGUUUGUGAACAAGUACUAUUCUACUUUGGAUCCAUUGCAACGCACGGGCACAUUGCUAGUAAAAGGAAAAGGCCUGCCGCGUUCGCAUCACACCCCCACACGCCCGGGAAUCGGGAGUACUCGACGACCCGUCCGGCACGCCACAUAGCUAGGGAAGGCAUGUUGCCUAGCACUUUCACUUUCAUGUGGGACCACAGUUGAGCAAAUCGACUAUCGGCAAACCGCACCCCGCCCGCCUCGUUGGAAAACAUAAACAAGGAGGGGAAGAUCUAGCUGUAGCACGGAAGCCAAGAAAUUUGGUGUCAGAUGGGACUCAUCGAUAAAGUAGGAGCACUCCGUACUACUCCUACUAUGAGGUUUGUACUACUACUACUACCAGCACUAUACAACUAGAUAUGUGCACGGCACAACAUUGUUAGAACAAAAACCGGGAAGAAGUAGGUACGUACUACUACCACUAUACAUAAUACUGCAUAUUAGGUUUCUCUAAAGUCAAACUUUGUAUACUUUCAACAAUUUGUAGGAAAAAGUAUUAACAUAUACACCACCAAAUAUAUAUCAUUUGAUUCAUCAUUGCUUUUAUUUCCACAUUGUGUAAAUUUGUUAGUGUAAAUGUUCAUAUUACUUUCACCAAAUUCAGUCAAGCUUUAUAAAAUUUGGCUGGAGUCAAAGCUAUAUAUGUGUGGAGUAAAUUACAAAAGGAGGGAGUGGAAUAGACAUAGAUAAAACUAUAUAAAUAAAAAAUAUACUAAUAUAGUCUAUAGAUAUAAAUAAGGCUACUACCCUUUUUCUAGGUUAGAGCUCGUGUUUUUGUAUACACAUUGUUUUGCUUCGCUGUAAUUUGAAUUUGCGGGGUGUGUGUAGGACUACCGCCUUUUGUUCAGUACCAGCAACCCCACCAUUAUCCUUAAUUAAUUCAUAUUGGCAAUUACGAUUGCAUUAUGUUAGUUCUAGCCAGUUCUUCGGUUGCUUGGAGGAACUCCAUCUCGUUAUUCAGGUUGAUUUUGUGCAUACGAUAAGAUCAUCAUCCAUCGAAGAUUUAUUUAGGAACGAUUGUCGAUCUGUAUCACCGGGUACGAUAUAGCUGGAUCGUCAACAUCAAAAUCCACCAAAUCGAUACUUAUCCCCACUCUCAUUGAAAGAUUGGGUCGCCAUUGUAAGACUACCACCUAGACAAUUCCUUCCCUAUAACAUACACAUGAGCACCCAUCUCAUUAUUCAGGUCCACGCCUCCCUCUCUCUCUCUCUCUCAACACACACACCUCUCCAUACGAUGCGUGUCUCUUAGUCUCUCUUCCAUCCCAUGACAAAAAGGCACACCGCCAUUCUCUUCUUCUUGCUACCCCCAUCUAUGUAGUUAGGUCUCCUUGCAACAAACAAGCAUUCAUCUGUGUCUCUACUAUCUCCUUCUACCACACACAACCUUCCACCCCUAGCCAACCGUGUCGUCGAGGUCUAUCCAACUCUCUCACACGGAAAUAGACGUUGUCUGUGUGUCCCUUCAUCGCACACACACUAUCGCUCUCCCAUAUCCGUAACCAUGUCGAUCCCGAUGUUACACCUCUCUCUCUCUCUAACACACAUGCACACACCCUCUCUCUCCCUUUCGGACACUCCUCUCUCUACGACACACAAAGUCUUUCGAACACGCAUAUGCCCCUCUCUCGUUAGGUAUUGCUGCCCCCACCCCCUCUUUGUCACACAAAUAUUCUCUCUAUAUCAAUCUCUCGCAGUAAUAAUUGCAUAAUAUAAAUUAAAACCAACUACAAAAAUGAGCUCCGAUUACAAAAAUCAAAUCCACUCCCAAACAGAAUACGAAAAUAGGGUGAAAUCAUGCACACAAAUGUUUGUUGCGUGCAUGAAUGUCAAUGAUAUGGAUGUACUACUCAUACAUCCACAGAGACCCAUUUCACAAAAAUUACAUUAAACCCUUCUUAAAAUAUGGUGCACAUGUGAUGUUUGUUGUACUGCUCUUUCCAGCCUUCCUCCGACACGUUCCAACAUAUUGUGCUACUUACGAUUCUAUUUUUCUCCUCAAACCAUGUGAAACCACGAAAAGGUCACCCCCCGCCCCCACUGGUACUGUAGCUCGAAGCUCCCACACAGACACGGCACCCAUCGGAGCACGCAGUCAUUGCCGAAGUGGAUGGCGCCGCGGCCUGGGAAGAGGACGGAGUCUCCGACAUCAUUGAGGUGGAGCACGCCCUCUACGGCCGCGAGUAGCGCGCGCUGACUAUCCAUGCGGAGGACAAUGUGAUCUAGAGACUCGCCCUCGUCGGCCACGAGGGGUAGCUGUGCUCUAGUAGCAUGCCCUCGUCGGUCACGAGUAGGUGCAUCACGUCCUCGCCGCUCACAAUGUGGACGAGUGCGUUCUCUAGCAGCAUGCCCGCGAGCAUCGCAUUGUCGAGAGCACACCCGUGAACAAUGCAUCAUCGCCGCUCUUGACGUGGACGAGCGCAUGCUCCGGCAGCAUGCCCGCGAACAUCGCAUCCUUGCCGCUCAAGCGCGCGAGCAUGUGCUCCAACAGCAUGACCACAAGCAUGUCAUCCUCAUGGCUCAGGAGGUUGUUGAGCGCGUGACAGUACCCCAGGAGUCGGGACGCGAGCACCGCGCCCCCGGCUAUGAGGAGUACUACAUGGUGGCCAUCAUGGUUUAGGAAAAUCCCGUGACUCUGCCACUCCUUGGAGGAGCGUGAGCUCUAGUGGGCGCUCGAGGAGUCCCGCGCCGAUAUGCAGGUGGCAGCGGACGUGCAAGAUUAUCCUUCGAGCUCUCCUCCUCUUACGAAGACGCCUCCACCACCCCCAUCAUAUGUCCUAUGCCUCAUCUCUGGUAGACAUUAGGAGUUUAGUUUUAUGGAACAUUAAUAUUUGGAUUAAUCGUACCUCUACCAAACUGUGAAGGAUCAAGACUAAUGCAAAAAACAACCUAUGACUAACAUGCAUAAAUAGAGAAUGUGGAGGCAUUGCAAUUAUGGAUUGCUUGCAUGAGUAGCUUAUGUGGCUUGGUUGCAUGGCUAGGAAAGGCUAGAGAAAAAUAAAUAGAUAAUAUGUUUAGAGUGCACUCCACUGAAUGGGAGCAUGUAAAUAUCUUUAGAGUGCACUCCAUUUUUUUUCCAAAUGCUUAGGUGCACCAGAUGUCGUGCCACGCUACAAAAUGUUAGAAAAAAUAUGCUUAUGUUUUAAAAAUCUAUUCUUAUCUUGAAACCAGACACACCCGCCCCUCACCUCAUCAAAAUAGCCCGAGGAAUAUGUCUUCAGUGAAGCAUAAUUGAUUUUAACUGAUAUAUGUAUAUCAAAACUAGAGUGUUUAUAUUUCAAGUUUGUGAACAAGUAUUAUUCUACUACUUUGGAUCCAUUGCAAUGCAUGGGCCAACACAUUGGUAGUAGUAAGAAACAAAUUCCAACUUUGGCACGAGUUCGUACUACGGGGGCAUCACAAGGCCUGGCGCAGGAGUUACAUUUCCCCCUCGGGGCCCACAGGACUGAGCUUCAGCGGCUUAGUGCACCUACCUUUGAGUCAAUGACACGUGGACCCUAAAUGCGGCUGGCCCACAUGUCAUUCUCAUAAAAGCAGAGGGGCGGUGGGACCGAGAGGGGUGAGUCAUAGGUCGGGGGACGUAUGGUGUCAUGGGAAUUGCGUGUGGCUGUGGUAGAAACUUGAUUGUCGCCAUAGUUCAGCUGGCCCGCAAGCCAGAGGAGCGGUGGGGCCGAGAGGGGUGAGGCACCGUCGGGGGACAUUGUGUCAUCGGUUGGAGCGGCAUCGUGGGAAUCGCAUGCAACAGUGGUAGAAACGUGAUGGUCGCCGUAGUUCAACUUCCAUGGACAAGCUGUCAUGUCUACUGACACAUGCAUUGCACAACGCUCGCUGUAAAGGAGUAGUAGUAGAGAAAACUAGGCAGAUAAAUAGUUAAUUAUAGUCAAGCGGACCAAAGACACUUGUUCAUCAUCAUCAUCAUCUUCUUCUUCUUCUUCUUCUUCUUCUUCUUGUUCCAAAGACGUGCACACCAGCAAAAUAGUUCAUCAAUGUACACAGAGAUGAAAUAUAAUUUUUACAAGAGAGGAAAUAGUUCAUCCAUCUAUAAACUUCUUCUUAUUAUUAUUCUUCUUCUCUCAAGCUCUUUCGACCUUGCAGCUAUCUCGAAACUCACACGGGCAUCGAGGGCAGCAUAUUUUAUCUGCUUGUAGGUCAAGGGACAAUUCUCCCAUCAUGACGACCUUAAUCCCAGCAUCUUGUCACCCUUCUCAAGAUUUGUUCUGAGCACAAAAUUUGCUACCUCGAAUAGGGAUGGUGUUUCUUUAUCACAAUUGUCUACAGAAAUUCCGGUUUGUAGGUCAGCGAUGUUUUUCAAGGCAAGGUUGUACGGCGCCAGCUUCUCUUUGUCCCCUUCGAUGGCUGCCCCACAGAAGUAUAUGUCCUCCCGAGACAUGAAAUAGUGGAGCUCACCUGGUAUGGAGGGUGUGUGUAUGAUGUGAUACACCAAAACUUCAUCUUCGAGGCACAACUGAAGGAGGGCGGCGCGUUGGAUCUUCCAAGUGGCACGCUCCGCGUACUCUGCGCUAUGACCGACGACCUUUCUCUCCACCUUCUGGAGGGAGUUGGAUACAUUGUUGAUCCAUUCUCGAACAACCCUUGGGUGGUCGGUGACGGUGGCAACUAUGCUCAACGAGCCUUCGACGAGGACAUGUUUGACGCUAAAAACCUACAUAGGGAUCUCUUUAGCCAUUAGGAACAGCUGGACUGGAGGGCUAUGGUUUGGAGAAUUAGGAUUAAGAUGGCUAGUCUAACUAAAGAAGAUGAUUAUUUAAAGGGGCUUCAGAAUUACUCCAGGAGGAUGUGAAUCUAGUGGGGUUUGAAUGCAAAUGAAGGAGAGAUGAAGAUGCCGAGGAAAAUCGGUUCCUGAUGGAGAAGUAAAUGGGAGAAGUGGCAUGCAUGCAGAUGAUUAGACGGCUAGGUAGACCAACCUGCAAAACGAGAAGGCUAUGCGGUUCACGUAUUGAGGAGUGGUCCGUGUCCGUGUACGUGCCCAUCCUUCUAUUGCUACAUGUGCCACUGGUUAGUUGAGGUCACUCUUUCGAAUCACCAUGGCGAAACAUUUAAUGAUUCCUUUUUUAUUUUUGGACCCCUCCUGACAGGUGGGACCUACGCAAAACCCACUUGGGUGGACGAACAGAUAUAUAAACAUAUCCAUCUCUUUGCACAAAAAAAUGUGCCGUAGUUGGUUCAGAUUGAUAUUGGCGCAUGCCUGCGAGACACAACCUUUUCUGGUUAAGUAAUAUGCGGUUGUCCUAAAAAAGAAAAGCCCUUCUUCGUGCUUCCGCAUGCACGAGAAUUUGGUUCUGCUCGCAAUAUGGAUGCUACCUGGAGGAUGAAGUGAACCCAGAGGCAUGCUAGCACGGGAGACCUAUUUCUGCUAUACAGUACUACUCCGUAUGUUACUACUAGUAGUAGUACAACUGUGGUACACUUGAUGGUCAAGAUAAUAUUCAUUUGGUCCUCACAGUGAAGUGACAAGACCCUAUGCCUGAGGUGACACUAGUCCAGGCGGCAUGUUCGGGUUACUAAAGUCAGCCUCACCUUGUGCACUAUGCAAUCACUGUCACCACCACUGUAUAGCAUACCUCGCCUCGUCUCCCUCUCCCCUAGCACCAAUCCAUCUCCAUCUCCGUCUUUCUGGAGAUCCUGAGGUCACUCUUCAUCAUCUCACUGUGCCCCCGCGUACCCUCGCCUCGCUCGCCUCCCCCAGUACUACUAUUCCUUCGCUAGCCGCUCCAGCACUGAGAGCCUUCUCCCUGUAAAUCAAGCCCCAAAAACCCUACCUUCCAAACUCCACCAUGGCCGAACGCGAAUUGCGCAGCAUCCAUAUAAGCUGUGAUUGGAGCAAUAUCCCCAGUGACAUCCUCGACCUAUGUUGUUCGUGUAUGGAUAUGUUGAGCAUCGUGUGGCUGGCUGCAUGCUCGAGGGACAUGCACACAUCCAUCGUCGAAGCGAGGCCUGAGCUUUUCAACACACCCUGCUUCCUGCUAUCUGGUCUUGCGAGAUUUGCUCACCAUGAUACAGAGGUGUACAUGACGCUCCUCGACUUCAAUCCGACCUCCAUUAGCCGAAACUUCUUUGCAAGUAUGUAGUGGGUCGCCGUACAUCAUGGCCCUUGACUUUGAUCCGAUCACCAUCGCCCAAAACUUCUUGGCAGGUAUGCAUUGGGUUGACAUAAACUCGCACUGGAUGGCUGCCGUCAGAGAAGACAGGAAAAAGUUGGUGCUCAUGAACUUCCACACCUCCCAUGAGAUUAUCCUUCCUCCGUUGAAUUAUGUAGGGUUUUACCAUCCCGGUCCAAGUCAUCUAGAUUACCACGUAUGUUGGACGGACCUUGUUUUGCAGAAGAUUGUAAUAUGCCAAGUGCGCACACGAUAUGUGGAUUACGCAGACUUCAAGCUAAUUUGCCUUGUUCGACCGCAGACUCGCCUAUCUUUCCGUCGGUGCCUUCUUUAGCUAGAGACGACUCACCUCGCAGUGGAUCAUCAAAGCUGAUACAUGCUUCUGUGAUGCUAUUGAACACAAUGGCAUCAUUGAUACGUCUCCAACGUAUCUAUAAUUUUUGAUUGCUCCAUGCUACUUUAUCUACUGUUUUAGGCAAUAUUGGGCUUUAUUAUCCACUUUUAUAUUAUUUUUGGGACUAACCUAUUAACUGGAGGCCCAACCCAGAAUUGCUGUUUUAUGCCUAUUUCAGUGUUUCGAGGAAAAGGAAUAUCAGACGGAGUCAAAACGGAACGAAAUCAACUAGAGAAGUUAAUUUUGGAAGGAAACCAACCUGAUGGGCUUGGAGUGCAUGUCAGGGGAGUCCCGGGCUGCCCACGAGGGUGGGGGGCGCGCCCCCUACCUCGUGAGCACCCCGGAGGUCCACCGACGUACCCCCUGCACCCAUAUAUACCUACGUACCCUAAAACUUCCAGAACAGAAGAUAGAUCAGGAGUUCCGCCGCCGCAAGCCUCUGUAGCCACCAAAAACCAAUCGGGACCCUGUUCCGGCACCCUGUCGGAGGGGGAUCCCAUCACCGGAGGCCAUCUUCAUCAUCCCGGCGCUAUCCAUGACGAGGAGGGAGUAGUUCACCCUCGGGGCUGAGGGUAUGUACCAGUAGCUAUGUGUUUGAUCUCUCUAUCGUGUUCUCUCUCGUGUCCCUCGAUGGCACGAUCUUGAUGUAUCCCGAGCUUUGCUAUUGUAGUUGGAUCUUAUGAUGUUUAUCCCCCUCUACUCUCUUGUGAUGAAUUGAGUUUCCCCUUUGAAGUUAUCUUAUCGGAUUGAGUCUUUUAUGAGAACACUUGAUGUAUGUCUUGCCGUGAUUAUCUGUGGUGACAAUGGGAUAUCAUGUGCCACUUGAUGUAUGUUUUGGUGAUCAACUUGCGGGUUCCACCCAUGAACCUAUGCAUAGGGGUUGGCACACGUUCUUGACUCUUCGGUAGUAGCUUUGGGGCACUCUUUGAAGUACUUUUAUGUUGGUUGGAUGAAUCUGAGAUUGUGUGAUGCAUAUCAUAUAAUCAUGCCCACGGAUACUUGAGGUGACAAUGGAGUAUCUAGGUGACAUUAGGGUUUUGGUUGAUUUGUGUCUUAAGGUGUUAUUCUAGUACGAACUCUUUUAUAGAUCGAUACGAACGAAUAACUUUGAGGUGGUUUCGUACCCUACCAUAAUCUCUACGUUUGUUCUUCGCUGUUAGUGGCUUUGGAGUGACUCUUUGUUGCAUGUUGAGGGCUUGUCAUAUGUUCUAUCUAUGUUAUUAUUGUUGAGAGAACUUGCACUAGUGAAAGUAUGAACCCUAGGCAUUGUUUCCUAUCUUUGCAAUACCGUUUACGCUCACUUUUAUCGCUCGUUACCUUGCUGUUUUUAUUAUUUCAGAUUACAAAAAACCUAUAUCUACUAUCUAUUUUGCACUUGUAUCACCAUCUCUUCGCCGAACUAGUGUACCUAUACAAUUUUACCAUUGUAUUGGGUGUGUUGGGGACACAAGAGACUCUUUGUUAUUUGGUUGCAGGAUUGCUUGAGAGAGACCAUAUUCAUCCUACGCCUCCUACGGAUUGAUAAACCUUAGGUCAUCCACUUGAGGGAAAUUUGCUACUGUCCUACAAACCUGUGCACUUGCAGGCCCAACAACGUCUACAAGAAGAAGGUUGUGUAGUAGACAUCAAGCUCUUUUCUGGCGCCGUUGCCGGGGAGGCUAGGUAAGUGAAGGUAUAUCUUUAGAUCUUGCAAUCGAAUCUUUUUGUUUCUUGUUUUAGCACUAGUCUAGUUUAUAAAAGAAACUACAAAAAAAUGGAAUUAAGUUUGUCUCAUACGCUUCAACUUUUUAAUAUCUUUCGUGAGUAUGAUGGAAAGGAUAAUUGUGCUCAAGUGCUAGAAGAAGAAAUCUCUAAAUUGUUUGGCACUAAAUAUUUGAAUGAUGAGCAUGAUUGCAAUGUUGUUAGUACGAAUUCCUUGAAUAUCCAUGAUGCUAAUGAUAUGCAAAGCCACAAGCUUGGGGAAGCUAUGUUUGAUGAAGAUGAUAUUUUUUGUCCCCCAAGCUUUAGUGAGCAAGUUUACUAUGAUGAAAGCAUGCCUCCUAUCUAUGAUGAUUAUUGUGAUGACACGUAUGCUUUAAAGAAUAAUGAUAACCAUGAAACUUGUCAUCUUGAUCUUAAUUUUCAGUCACAUGAUAGUUAUUUUGUUGAGUUUGCUCCCACUACUAUUCAUGAGAAGAAUUUUGCUUAUGUGGAGAGUAGUAAAUUUUCUAUGCUUGUAGAUCAUGAAAAGAAUGCUUUAGGUGCUGGUUAUAUUGUUGAAUUCAUUCAUGAUGCUACGGAACAUUAUUAUGAGGGAGGAAUAUAUGCUUGUAGGAAUUGCAAUAAUAUCAAGUUUCCUCUCUAUGUGCUUAAAAUCUUGAAGCUAUGCUUGUUUUACCUUCCUAUGCUUGUUGAUAUUGUUCCCAUAACUUGUUUGUUCACAAAAUCCCUAUGCAUAGGAAGUGGGUUAGGCUUAAAUGUGCUAGUCAUAUGCUUCAUGAUGCUCCCGUUAUGUUUCAAUUCUUAUCUUUUAUGUGAGCAUCAUUGUCAUCAUCAUGCCUAGCUAGAAAGGUAUUAAAGAAAAGCGCUUGUUGGGAGACAACCCAAUAUUUAUCCUUACUGUUUUUGUGUGUCCACAUGAUUAUCCUACUGUAGUAAUCAUGUUAUAUAGCUUUUGUUUCAAUAAAGUGCCAGGUAAGACCUUUAGGAUAGCUUACGGUGAUAGUUGUGUUGAUCCUGCUGAAAAUCAGAAACUUUUGCACCCAGUAAAUUAGUUUUGUUAAUUCAGAGAAAGGUGCUUCUGAUAUGAUUCUUUUUGCUAUGGAUUUGUACACAAAUUGCUUAGGACUUCCUAAUUUGGUAGGACUUUUGGAGUUUCAGAAGUAUACGUUUGAUACAGAUUACUACAGACUGUUCUGUUUUUGACAGAUUCUGUUUUCUAUGUGUUGUUUGCUUAUUUUGAUGAAUCUAUGAGUAGUAUCGGAGGGUAUGAACCAUAGAUAAGUUGUAGUACAGUAGAUAUUACACCAAUAUGAAUUUAUAAUGAGUUCAUUACAGUACCUAAGUGGUUGUUUUAUUUUCUUAGACUAACGGAGCUUACGAGUUUUCUCUUGAGUUUUGUGUGGUUGAAGUUUUCAAGUUUUGGGUAAAGAUUCGAUGGAAUAUGGAAUAAGGAGUGGCAAGAGCCUAAGCUUGGGGAUGCCCAAGGCACCCCAAGGUAAUAUUCAAGGACAACCAAGCAACUAAGCUUGGGGAUGCCCCGGAUGGCAUCCCCUCUUUCGUCUUCAUGCAUCGGUAACUUUACUUGGAGCUAUAUUUUUAUUCACCUCAUGAUAUGUGUUUUGGUUGGAGCAUCAUUUUCUUUUGUUAGUUUUUGCUUUCUGUUGGUUAGAAUAAUGUUUUGCCUCUUUAGUUUCAAUAAAAAGUCAAGGAUAGCCUUUGCCAUGCUUAUUUUGCUAGUUUGCAUGUUGCUGUUUGAAAACAGAAAGUUUACCGCUGUUGCAAAAAUUGCCUAGAAAAGUAAGAGAAUGGUCUAACAUUGAAUCUUUUUGCAUAUUGAGCUCUGAUAAAUUUAUUACAGUGGGAAUUUUAGUUAAUAAUUUUUGUAGUUAGGAAAGUAUUGAUACUCUUGCAUUCUUUACAGACUGUACUGUUUUGGCAGAUUGCUGUUAUGGUUGCAUUGUUUGCAUAUGUUUGCUUGUUUAAAGAUUCUAUUUGAGGAUAGGAGUAUUAAAUAUGCAGAGGCAUUUAGUAUGCAAUGUGGAAUAACAAUUUUAGUGAUUUUUUACAGUAGAAAAUGAUAAGGUUUUGCAUUGGUUUAUACUAACCUAUCUCACGAGUUCUUGUUGAGUUUGUUGUGAAUGAAGCUUUUGAUAAAAAGAAGAGAAACCAUGAUAUGAGAGGAAUUAAGGAGACACAAAAGUUCAAGCUUGGGGAUGCCCACGGCACCCCAAGAUAAUAUUUCAAGAAGUCUCAAGCAUCUAAGCUUGGGCAUGCCCCGGUAGGCAUCCCACCUUUCUUCUUCAACAACUAUCGGUUAGUAUCGGUUGAGCCUAAGUUUUUGCUUCUUCACAUGAGUUGUGCUAUCCUUGCAUUGUAGUUUCCCUUAGAUUUGCUUGCUGUUUGAAUAAAGUAUCAAGAUCUUAAAUUAUUAAAUGGGAGAGUCUUCACAAAGUUGCAUAAUUAUUCGACUACUCAUUGAUCUUCACUUAUAUCUUUCGGAGUAGUUUUUGUUAUUGCUCUAGUACUUCACUUAUAUCUUUUAGAGCACAAUGGUGGUUUUAUUUUUAAGAAAUAGAUGAACUCUCAUGCUUCACUUAGAUUAUUUUGAGAGUCUUAAUAAGCAUGGUAAUUUUCUUAAAUAAUCCUAAUAUGCUAAGCAUAAAAGAUUUGUAAGAAUUCUUAUGAGUGUGUUGAAUACUAAGAAAAGUUUGAUGCUUGAUAAUAAUUUUGAGAUAUGGAGGUGAUAAUAUCAAAGUCGUGCUAGUUGAGUAAUUAUGAAUUUAAAGAAUACUUGUGUUGAAGUUGGCAAGUCCCGUAGCAUGCACGUAUGGUAAAAGUUGUGUAACAAAUUUAUUGCAUGGGGUGCUCUUUUGAUUGCCUUCCCUUGAGUGGAGGUCGGGGACGCGCGAUGGUUAACUCCUACCAACCCCCCCCUAGGAGCAUGCGCAGUAGUACUUUGCUUUGAGGGCCAAUAAAACUUUUGCAAUAAGUAUAUGAGUUCUUUUGACUAAUGUUGAGUCCAUGGAUAUACGCACUUUUACCUUUCCGCCUUUGCUAGCCUCUUCGGUACCGUGCAUUGCCCUUUCUCACCUUAAGAGUUGGUGCAAACUUCGCCGGUGCAUCCAAACCCCGUGAUACGAUACGCUCUAUCACACAUAAACCUCAUUAUAUCUUCCUCAAAACAGCCACCAUACCUAUCUAUCAUGGCAUUUCCAUAGCCAUUCCGAGAUAUAUUGCCAUGCAACUUCCAUCAUCAUCAUCAUGACAUACAUUACUUUUGUCAUAUUGCCAUUGCAUGAUCAUGUAGUUGACAUCGUAUUUGUGGCAAAGCCACCAUGCAUUAUUUUUCAUACAUGUCACUCUCGAUUCAUUGCACCAUCCCGGUACACCGCCGGAGGCAUUCAUAUAGAGUCAUAUCUUGUUCUAAGUUUUGAGUUGUAAUCCUUAUGUUGUAAUCAAUAGAAGUGUGAUGAUCAUCAUUAUUAGAGCAUUGCCCAAAUAAAAAAAAGAAAGGCCAAAAAAAGGCCCAAAAAAAAGAGAAAAGAAAAGGGCAAUGCUACUAUCUCUUUUCCACACUUGUGCUUCAAAGUAGCACCUUGUUCUUCAUGUAGUGAGUCUCAUAUAUUGUGCUUCAAAGUAGCACCUUGUUCUUCAUGUAGUGAGUCUCAUAAGUUGUCUUUUUAUACUAGAGGGAAUUUUUCAUUAUAGAACUUGGCUUGUAUAUUCCUACGAUGGGCUUCCUCAAAUGCCCUAGGUCUUCAUGAGCAAGCGAGUUGGAUGCACACCCACUAGUUUUCUUUUGUUGAGCAUUCAUAGCUCUAGUGCAUCUGUUGCAUGGCAAUCCCUACUCCUCAUGUUGACAUCAAUUGAUGGGCAUCUCCAUAGCCCGUUGAUUAGCCUCGUCAAUGUGAGACUUUCUCCUUUUUUGUCUUCUCCACAUAAUCCCCAUCAUCAUAUUCUAUUCCACCCAUAGUGCUAUAUCCAUGGCUCACGCUCAUGUAUUGCGUGAGAGUUGAAAAAGGCUGAAGCGCGUUAAAAAGUAUGAACCAAUUGCUUGGCUGAAACCGGGGUUGUUCUUGAUGGGAGUAUUUUGUGUGAUGAAAAUGAAGCAUAGCCUAACUAUAUGAUUUUGUAGGGAUGAACUUUCUUUUGCCAUGCUAUUUUGAGAAGACAUGAUUGCUUUGAUUAGUAUGCUUGAAGUAUUAUUAUUUUUAUGUCAAUAUGAACUUUUGUCUUGAAUCUUUCGGAUCUGAAUAUUCAUAUCACAAGUAAGAAGAAUUACAUUGAAAUUAUGCCAAGUAGCACUCCGCAUCAAAAAUUCUUUUUUAUUAUUCACCUACUCGAGGACGAGCAGGAAUUAAGCUUGGGGAUGCUUGAUACGUCUCCAACGUAUCUAUAAUUUUGGAUUGCUCCAUGCUACUUUAUCUACUGUUUUAGGCAAUAUUGGGCUUUAUUAUCCACUUUUAUAUUAUUUUUGGGACUAACCUAUUAACCGGAGGCCCAACCCAGAAUUGUUGUUUUAUGCCUAUUUUAGUGUUUCGAGGAAAAGGAAUAUCAGACGGAGCCAAAACGGAAUGAAAUCAACUAGAGAAGUAAAUUUUGGAAGGAAACCAACCUGAUGGGAUUGGAGUGCACGUCAGGGGAGUUCCGGGCUGCCCACGAGGGUGGGGGGUGCCCCCCUAGGCGCGCCCCCUACCUCGUGAGCACCCCGGAGGUCCACCGACGUACCCCCUGCACCCAUAUAUACCUACGUACCCUAAAACUUCCAGAACAGAAGAUAGAUCGGGAGUUCUGCCGCCGCAAGCCUCUGUAGCCACCAAAAACCAAUCAGGACCCUGUUCCGGCACCCUGCCGGAGGGGGAUCCCAUCACCGGAGGCCAUCUUCAUCAUCCCGGCGCUAUCCAUGACGAGGAGGGAGUAGUUCACCCUCGGGGCUGAGGGUAUGUACCAGUAGCUAUGUGUUUGAUCUCUCUCUCUCGUGUCCCUCGAUGGCACGAUCUUGAUGUAUACCGAGCUUUGCUAUUGUAGUUGGAUCUUAUGAUGUUUCUCCCCCUCUACUCUCUUGUGAUGAAUUGAGUUUCCCCUUUGAAGUUAUCUUAUCGGAUUGAGUCUUUUAUGAGAACACUUGAUGUAUGUAUUGCCGUGAUUAUCUGUGGUGACAAUGGGAUAUCAUGUGCCACUUGAUGUAUGUUUUGGUGAUCAACUUGCGGGUUCCACCCAUGAACCUAUGCAUAGGGGUUGGCACAUGUUCUUGACUCUCCGGUAGUAGCUUUGGGGCACUCUUUGAAGUACUUUUAUGUUGGUUGGAUGAAUCUGAGAUUGUGUGAUGCAUAUCGUAUAAUCAUGCCCACGGAUACUUGAGGUGACAAUGGAGUAUCUAGGUGACAUUAGGGUUUUGGUUGAUUUGUGUCUUAAGGUGUUAUUCUAGUAUGAACUCUUUUAUAGAUCGAUCCGAACGAAUAACUUUGAGGUGGUUUCGUACCCUACCAUAAUCUCUAUGUUUGUUCUCCGCUAUUAGUGGCUUUGGAGUGACUCUUUGUUGCAUGUUGAGGGCUUGUCAUAUGUUCUAUCUAUGUUAUUAUUGUUGAGAGAACUUGCACUAGUGAAAGUAUGAACCCUAGGCCUUGUUUCCUAUCAUUGCAAUACCGUUUACGCUCACUUUUAUCGCUCGUUACCUUGCUGUUUUUAUUAUUUCAGAUUACAAAAACCUAUAUCUACUAUCUAUUUUGCACUUGUAUCACCAUCUCUUCGCCGAACUAGUGCACCUAUACAAUUUACCAUUGUAUUGGGUGUGUUGGGGACACAAGAGACUCUUUGUUAUUUGGUUGCAGGGUUGCUUGAGAGAGACCAUAUUCAUCCUACGCCUCCUACGGAUUGAUAAACCUUAGGUCAUCCACUUGAGGGAAAUUUGCUACUGUCCUACAAACAUGUGCACUUGCAGGCCCAACAACGUCUACAAGAAGAAGGUUGUGUAGUAGACAUCAAUCAUCUACGCGAUCGACAAAGCAGAUGGCACCACGUAUUGUUGGGACGGCGCAUGUAAGUUGUUUUCGUCUGAUUUUAAUGAUAAGACCAUGACACUGUUUGAACUUUUUGUGAUGAUUGGCAUAUCCCUGUUUGAGCAGAAUUUCAGUAGAACUAUGGCAAUGUAUUAGAGAUGCUGUAAAUUAGCUAUAUUUGGAAUGACUUAAUUCAUGCGAUUGUGACCAUGUCAUUACAGCCAAACUGUACCCUUGAAUAAUCAAACAGUUAGGAAGAUAUGGAUAUUCUCCUUACUUUAUAGUAAUCUAUAUACUACUAUAUAUGAGUGUGUACCAAUAGCCAUGUUAGUUUCCUCAUUUUCAUGAUGUAGAAACAUGCAUCACACUAUUGGUUUCAUCUAACCAUACAUUAGGGAAGUAAAUGUGCAUACGGAGAACUCUAUAUUUGGAAGUAGUAAAAUCUUGUAAUGCUUACCGUGUGUACAUACCUAUAUUCGCCCUUUAGCAAUCAAUAUCUAGAAUAAUAUCCUCACAAGAAUUUCGCCCACAGAACAUGAGUAUAUAACAAUGCAUGGUCUUUUAGUUUCCUUGAAGAAUUUGUUUGUGAGGAAAGAACAUGAUUACCCCGUCUGUUCCCAAAUGUAAGUCUUUUUAGAGAUUCCAACAAGGGACUACAUACGGAGCAAAAUGAGUGAAUCUGCACUCUAAAAUAUGUAUAUAUACAUCCGUAUGUUGUAGUCCAUAUGAAAUCUCUAAAAAGACUUAUAUUUAGGAACAAAGGAGUACAUAACAUGCAUGACAUGGUUGUUUCCUGUGAAGAAUCGAUUGCGAGAUAACAUGAGUAUAAUCAUGCAUGGUACUUCUAUAUUUUCGAACCCAGUAUACAUUUCCUUGUAUUUUCCUAGAGCUCAAGUGGGCAUAUUUGUUGGUUAUGCCACAACUCUCAUGCUUACCAUGUUUUCAACAAGUCCACCGGACUCAUUGAGGAGACAUGUAACAUGGAGUUUGAUGAAAAUAACGGUUCUCGAGUGGAGAAAAGUGGUCUUUGUGAUGUAGGUGAUGAAAUUACACCCCAAGCCAUAAGUAGAAUGGGGAUUGGUCAAAUACUCCCCAUUGAGGAACUGUCGGAUUUCGGGUUCCGCCAGACCCUUGAGGUUCGAACACUGGGGUGCGCGCGGAGAUUAUGCCCUCUGUUGGAAAUAUGCCCUAGAGGCAAUAAUAAAAGUAUUAUUAUAUUUCAAUGUUCAUGAUAAAUGUCUUUUAUUCAUGCUAUAACUGUAUUAUCCGGAAAUCGUAAUACACGUGUGAAUACUUAGACCACAAUAUGUCCCUGGUGAGCCUCUAGUUGACCAGCUCGUUGUGAUCAACAGAUAGUCAUGGUUUCCUGACUAUGGACAUUGGAUGUCGUUGAUAACGGGAUCACAUCAUUAGGAGAAUGAUGUGAUGGACAAGACCCAAUCUUAAGCAUAGCAUAAAAGAUCGUGUAGUUCAUUUUGCUAGAGCUUUGCCAGUGUCAAGUAUCUCUUCCUUCGACCAUGAGAUUGUGUAACUCCUGGAUACCGUAAGAGUGCCUUGGGUGUAUCAAACGUCACAACGUAACUGGGUGACUAUAAAGGUGCAUUACAGGUAUCUCCGAAAGUAGCUGUUGGGUUGACACGGAUCAAGACUGGGAUUUGUCACUCCGUAUGACAGAGAGGUAUCUCUGGGCCCACUCGGUAAUGCAUCAUCACAAUGAGCUCAAUGUGACCAAGGUGUUGGACACGGGAUCAUGCAUUACGGUACGAGUAAAGUGACUUGCCGGUAACGAGACUGAACAAGGUAUUGGGAUACCGACGAUCGAGUCUCGGGCAAGUAACGUACCGAUUGACAAAGGGAAUUGCAUACAGUGUUUGAUCGAAUCCUCGACAUCGUGGUUCAUCCGAUGACAACAUCGAGGAGCAUGUGGGAGCCAUCAUGGGUAUCCAGAUCCCGCUGUUGGUUAUUGACUGAGAGCGUCUCGGUCAUGUCUGCAUGUCUCCCGAACCCGUAGGGUCUACACACUUAAGGUUCGGUGACGCUAGGGUUAUUAGGAAGACUAGUAUGUGACUACCGAAUGUUGUUCGGAGUCCCGGAUGGGAUCCUGGACAUCACGAGGAGAUCCGGAAGGGUCCGGAGGUAAAUAUUUAUAUAUGGGAAGUUGUCAAACAGACACCGGGAAGUUUCGGGGUCAUACCGGUAUUGUACCGGGGCCACCGGAAGGGUUCCGGGGGUCCACCGGGAGGGGCCACCCCUCCCGGGGGGCCACAUGGGCUGUGUGGGGCAGGGAGCCAGCCCCUGGUGGGCUGGCCACACCCCCUCCCUUGGGCCCAUGCGCCUAGGGUUGAGGGGGGAACCCUAGAGGGGGCGCCCCCCUUGACUUGGGGGGCAAGCCACCCUCUCCCCUCUCCCCUAGGCCGCCGCACCCCCCCCCUAGAUGGGUUCUAGGGGGCCGGCCCUCUUCUCCCUUCCCCCUAUAAAUAGAGGGGUGAGGGGAGGGCAGCCGCACCACCCUCCAAGGCGCAGCCCUCCCCUCCCCAACACCUCUCCUCCUCCGUUGUGUGCUUGGCGAAGCCCUGUCGGAGUACCGCCUCUCCACCAUCACCACGCCAUCGUGCUGCCGGUGGAGCUGUCUUCCUCAACCUCUCCUUUCCCCUUGCUGGAUCAAGAAGGAGGAGACGUCUCCCGUCCCGUACAUGUGUUGAACGCGGAGGUGCUGUCCGUUCAGCACUUGGUCAUCGGUGAUUCGAAUCACGUCGAGUACGACUACAUCAUCACCUUGCAAGCUUCCGCACGCGAUCUACAAGUGGUAUGUAGAUGCAAACUCUCUCCCUUGACUCGUUGCUUAGAUGAACUCAUAGAUGGAUCUUGGUGAAACCGUAGAAAUUUUUUUAAUUUUCUGCAACGUUCCCCAACAGUGGCAUCAUGAGCUAGGUCUAUGCGUAGUUCUCUUUGCACAAGUAGAACACAAUUUUGUUGUGGGCGUGGAUUUUGUCAUCUUACUUGCCUCUACUAGUCUUUUCUUGCUCAACGGUAUUGUGGGAUGAAGCGGCCCGGACCAACCUUACACGUACGCUUACGUGAGACCGGUUCCACCGACUGACAUGCACUAGUUGCAUAAGGUGGCUGGCGGGUGUCUGUCUCUCCCACUUUAGUUGGAGCGGAAUCGAUGAAUAGGGCCCUUAUGAAGGGUAAAUAGAAGUUGACAAAAUCACGUUGUGGUGAUUCGUAGGUAAGAAAACGUUCUUGCUAGAACCCAAUUGCAGCCACGUAAAAGAUGCAACAACAAUUAGAGGACGUCUAACUUGUUUUUGCAGCGAUUGAUCAUGUGAUGUGAUAUGGCCAGAAGUUGUGAUGAAUGAUGAAUUGUGAUGUAUGAGAUCAUGUUCUUUGUAAUAGGAUUCACGACUUGCAUGUCGAUGAGUAUGACAACCGGCAGGAGCCAUAGGAGUUGUCUUUAUUUUUUGUAUGACCUGCGUGUCAUUGAAUAACGCCAUGUAAACUACUUUACUUUAUUGCUAAACGUUAGUCAUAGAAGUAGAAGUAGUCGUUGGCGUGACAACUUCAUGAAGACACGAUGAUGGAGAUCAUGAUGAUGGAGAUCAUGGUGUCAAGCCGGUGACAAGAUGAUCAUGGAGCCUCGAAGAUGAAGAUCAAUGGAGCUAUAUGAUAUUGGCCAUAUCAUGUCACAACUAUAUAAUUGCAUGUGAUGUUUAUUAUGUUUAUGCAUCUUGUUUACUUAGGACGACGGUAGUAAAUAAGAUGAUCCCUUACAAAAAAUUUCAAGAAGUGUUCUCCCCUAACUGUGCACCGUUGCUACAGUUCGUCGCUUCUAAGCACCACGUGAUGAUCGGGUGUGAUGGAUUCUUACGUUCACAUACAACGGGUGUAAGACAGUUUUACACAGCGAAAACACUUAGGGUUAACUUGACGAGCCUAGCAUGUGCAGACAUGGCCUCAGAACACGGAGACCGAAAGGUCGAACACGAGUCGUAUGGAAGAUACGAUCAACAUGAGAAUGUUCACCGACGAUGACUAGUCCGUCUCACGUGAUGAUCGGACACGGGCUAGUCGACUCGGAUCGUGUAACACUUAGAUGACUAGAGGGAUGUCUAAUCUAAGUGGGAGUUCAUAAUUUGAUUAGAACUUUAUUAUCAUGAACUUAGUCUAAAACCUUUGCAAAUAUGUCUUGUAGAUCAAUGGACAACGCUAAUGUCAACAUGAACUUCAACGCGUUCCUAGAGAAAACCAAGCUGAAAGAUGAUGGCAGCAACUAUACGGACUGGGUCCGGAACCUGAGGAUCAUCCUCAUAGCUGCCAGGAAACAAUAUGUCCUAGAAGGACCGCUAGGUGACGCUCCCGUCCCAGAGAACCAAGACAUUAUGAAUGCUUGGCAGUCUCGUGCUGAUGAUUACUCCCUCGUUCAGUGUGGCAUGCUUUACAGCUUAGAACCGGGGCUCCAAAAGCGUUUUGAGCAUCACGGAGCAUAUGAGAUGUUCGAAGAGCUGAAACUAGUUUUUCAAGCUCAUGCCCGGGUCGAGAGAUAUGAUGUCUCCGACAAGUUCUACAGUUGUAAGAUGGAGGAAAACAGUUCUGUCAGUGAGCACAUCCUGAAGAUGUCUGGGUUGCACAACCGUAUGACCCAGCUGAACAUUAACCUCCCAGAUGAGGCGGUCAUUGACAGAAUCCUCCAGUCGCUCCCACCAAGCUACAAGAGCUUUGUGAUGAACUACAACAUGCAGGGGAUGGAAAAGACCAUUCCUGAAGUGUUCUCGAUGCUGAAGUCAGCAGAGGCUGAAAUCAAGAAAGAACAUCAAGUGUUGAUGGUCAAUAAGACCACUAAGUUCAAGAAGGGCAAGGGUAAGAAGAACUUCAAGAAGGACGGCAAAGAUGUUGCUGCGCCUGGUAAGCCAGUUACCGGGAAGAAGUCAAAGAAUGGACCCAAGCCUGAGACUGAGUGCUUUUAUUGCAAGGGGAAGGGUCACUGGAAGCGGAACUGCCCCAAAUACUUAGCGGAUAAGAAGGCCGGCAACACCAAAGGUAUAUUUGAUAUACAUGUGAUUGAUGUGUACCUUACCAGUACUCGUAGUAACUCCUGGGUAUUUGAUACCGGUGCCGUUGCUCAUAUUUGUAACUCACAGCAGGAGCUGCGGAAUAAACGGAGACUGGCGAAGGACGAGGUGACGAUGCGCGUCGGGAAUGGUUCCAGAGUCGAUGUGAUCGCCGUCGGCACGCUGCCUCUACAUUUACCUACGGGAUUAGUUUUGAACCUUAAUAAUUGUUAUUUAGUGCCAAGUUUGAGCAUGAACAUUGUAUCUGGAUCUCAUUUGAUAUGAGAUGGCUACUCAUUUAAGUCUGAGAAUAAUGGUUGUUCGAUUUAUAUGAGAGAUAUGUUUUAUGGUCAUGCUCCGAUGGUCAAUGGUUUAUUCUUAAUGAAUCUCGAGCGUAAUAUUACACAUGUUCAUAGUGUAGAUGCCAAAAGAUUUAAAGUUGAUAACGAUAGUCCCACAUACUUGUGGCACUGCCGCCUUGGUCACAUUGGUGUCAAGCGCAUGAAGAAGCUCCAUGCCGAUGGACUUUUAGAGUCUCUUGAUUAUGAAUCGUUUGACACGUGCGAACCAUGCCUUUUGGGCAAAAUGACCAAGACUCCGUUCUCCGGAACAAUGGAGCGAGCAACCAACUUGUUGGAAAUCACACAUACCGAUGUGUGCGGUCCAAUGAGCGUUGAGGCUCGCGGAGGAUAUCGUUAUGUUCUCACUCUCACAGAUGACUUGAGUAGAUAUGGGUAUGUCUACUUAAUGAAACACAAGUCUGAGACCUUUGAAAAGUUCAAGGAAUUUCAGAAUGAGGUAGAGAAUCAACGUGACCGAAAGAUAAAAUUCUUACGACCAGAUCGUGGAGGAGAAUACUUAAGUCACGAAUUUGGUACACACUUAAGGAAAUGUGGAAUCGUUUCACAGCUCACGCCGCCUGGAACACCUCAGCGAAACGGUGUGUUCGAACGUCGUAAUCGCACCCUAUUGGAUAUGGUGCGGUCUAUGAUGUCUCUUACCGAUUUACCGCUAUCAUUUUGGGGAUACGCUCUAGAGACAGCUACAUUCACUUUAAAUAGGGCACCGUCUAAAUCCGUUGAGACGACACCGUAUGAAUUAUGGUUUGGAAAGAAACCUAAGCUGUCGUUUCUAAAAGUUUGGGGAUGCGAUGCUUAUGUCAAGAAACUUCAACCUGAAAAGCUCGAACCCAAGUCGGAAAAAUGCGUAUUCAUAGGAUACCCUAAGGAAACUAUCGGGUAUACCUUCUACUUAAGAUCCGAAGGCAAGAUCUUUGUUGCCAAGAACGGAUGCUUUCUGGAAAAAGAGUUUCUCUCGAAAGAAGUAAGUGGGAGGAAAGUAGAACUCGAUGAAGUACUACCUCUUGAGCGGGAAAGUGGUGCAGCGCAGGAAACCGUUCCUGUAAUGCCCACACCAACUGAAGAGGAAAACAAUGAUGAUGAUCAAGGUACUUCGGAUCAAGUUACUGCUGAACUUCGUAGGUCCACAAGGACACGUUCCGCACCAGAGUGGUACGGCAACCCUGUCCUGGAAAUCAUGUUGUUAGACAACAAUGAACCUUCGAACUAUGAAGAAGCGAUGGCGGGCCCGGAUUCCAACAAAUGGCUUGAAGCCAUGAAAUCCGAGAUAGAAUCCAUGUAUGAAAACAAAGUAUGGACUUUGACAGACUUGCCCGAUGAUCGGCGAGUGAUAGAAAACAAAUGGAUCUUUAAGAAGAAGACGGACGCGGAUGGUAAUGUUACAAUCUAUAAGGCUCGACUUGUCGCUAAGGGUUAUCGACAAGUUCAAGGGAUUGACUACGACGAGACUUUCUCUCCCGUAGCGAAGCUGAAGUCCGUCCGAAUCAUGUUAGCAAUUGCCGCAUACUAUGAUUAUGAGAUAUGGCAAAUGGACGUCAAAACGGCAUUCCUUAACGGGCAUCUUAAGGAAGAACUGUAUAUGAUGCAGCCGGAAGGAUUUGUCGAUCCUCAGAACGCUAACAAAGUAUGCAAGCUCCAGCGAUCCAUUUAUGGACUGGUGCAAGCAUCUCGGAGUUGGAACAUUCACUUUGAUGAGAUGAUCAAAGCGUUUGGGUUUAUGCAGACUUAUGGAGAAGCCUGCGUUUACAAGAAAGUGAGUGGGAGCUCUGUAGCAUUUCUCAUAUUAUAUGUAGAUGACAUACUCUUGAUGGGAAAUAAUAUAGAAUUUCUGGACAACAUUAAGGCCUACUUGAAUAAGUGUUUUUCAAUGAAGGACCUUGGAGAAGCUGCUUAUAUAUUAGGCAUCAAGAUCUAUAGAGAUAGAUCGAGACGCCUCAUAGGUCUUUCACAAAGCACAUACCUUGAUAAGAUUUUGAAGAGGUUCAAAAUGGAUCAGUCCAAGAAGGGGUUCUUGCCUAUGUUACAAGGUGUGAGACUGAGCUCAGCUCAGUCACCGACCACGGCAAAAGAUAAAGAAGAGAUGAGUGUCAUCCCCUAUGCUUCAGCCAUAGGAUCUAUUAUGUAUGCCAUGCUGUGUACCAGACCCGAUGUAAACCUUGCCGUAAGUUUGGUAGCAAGAUACCAAAGUAAUCCCGGCAAGGAACACUGGACAACGGUCAAGAAUAUCCUGAAGUACCUGAAAAGGACGAAGGACAUGUUUCUCGUUUAUGGAGGAGACGAAGAGCUCGUCGUAAAGGGUUACGUCGACGCUAGCUUCGACUCAGAUCUGGAUGACUCUAAGUCACAAACCGGAUACGUGUAUAUGUUGAAUGGUGGAGCAGUAAGCUGGUGCAGCUGCAAGCAGAGCAUCGUGGCGGGAUCUACGUGUGAAGCGGAGUACAUGGCAGCCUCGGAGGCAGCGCAUGAAGCGAUUUGGGUGAAGGAGUUCAUCACCGACCUAGGAGUCAUACCCAAUGCGUCGGGGCCGAUCAAACUCUUCUGUGACAACACUGGAGCUAUUGCCCUCGCCAAGGAGCCCAGGUUUCACAAGAAGACCAGGCACAUCAAGCGUCGUUUCAACUCCAUCCGUGAAAAUGUUCAAGAUGGAGACAUAGAGAUUUGCAAAGUGCACACGGAUCUGAAUGUCGCAGAUCUGCUGACUAAACCUCUCUCGCGUGCAAAACAUGAUCAACACCAGAACUCUAUGGGUGUUCGAUUCAUCACAAUGUAACUAGAUUAGUGACUCUAGUGCAAGUGGGAGACUGUUGGAAAUAUGCCCUAGAGGCAAUAAUAAAAGUAUUAUUAUAUUUCAAUGUUCAUGAUAAAUGUCUUUUAUUCAUGCUAUAACUGUAUUAUCCGGAAAUCGUAAUACACGUGUGAAUACUUAGACCACAAUAUGUCCCUGGUGAGCCUCUAGUUGACCAGCUCGUUGUGAUCAACAGAUAGUCAUGGUUUCCUGACUAUGGACAUUGGAUGUCGUUGAUAACGGGAUCACAUCAUUAGGAGAAUGAUGUGAUGGACAAGACCCAAUCUUAAGCAUAGCAUAAAAGAUCGUGUAGUUCGUUUUGCUAGAGCUUUGCCAGUGUCAAGUAUCUCUUCCUUCGACCAUGAGAUCGUGUAACUCCCGGAUACCGUAAGAGUGCCUUGGGUGUAUCAAACGUCACAACGUAACUGGGUGACUAUAAAGGUGCAUUACAGGUAUCUCCGAAAGUAGCUGUUGGGUUGACACGGAUCGAGACUGGGAUUUGUCACUCCGUAUGACGGAGAGGUAUCCCUGGGCCCACUCGGUAAUGCAUCAUCACAAUGAGCUCAAUGUGACCAAGGUGUUGGACACGGGAUCAUGCAUUACGGUACGAGUAAAGUGACUUGCCGGUAACGAGACUGAACAAGGUAUUGGGAUACCGACGAUCGAGUCUCGGGCAAGUAACGUACCGACUGACAAAGGGAAUUGCAUACAGGGUUUGAUCGAAUCCUCGACAUCGUGGUUCAUCCGAUGACAACAUCAAGGAGCAUGUGGGAGCCAUCAUGGGUAUCCAGAUCCCGCUGUUGGUUAUUAACUGAGAGCGUCUCGGUCAUGUCUGCAUGUCUCCCGAACCCGUAGGGUCUACACACUUAAGGUUCGGUGACGCUAGGUUAUUAGGAAGACUAGUAUGUGACUACCGAAUGUUGUUCGGAGUCCCGGAUGGGAUCCUGGACGUCACGAGGAGAUCCGGAAGGGUCCGGAGGUAAAGAUUUAUAUAUGGGAAGUUGUCAAACACACACCGGGAAGUUUCGGGGUCAUACCGGUAUUGUACCGGGGCCACCGGAAGGGUUCCGGGGGUCCACCGGGAGGGGCCACCCCUCCCGGGGGGCCACAUGGGCUGUGUGGGGCAGGGAGCCAGCCCCUGGUGGGCUGGCCGCACCCCCUCCCUUGGGCCCAUGCGCCUAGGGUUGAGGGGGGAACCCUAGAGGGGGCGCCCCCCUUGACUUGGGGGGCAAGCCACCCUCUCCCCUCUCCCCUAGGCCGCCGCACCCCCCCUAGAUGGGUUCUAGGGGGCCGGCCCCCUUCUCCCUUCCCCCUAUAAAUAGAGGGGUGAGGGGAGGGCAGCCGCACCACCCUCCAAGGCGCAGCCCUCCCCUCCCCAACACCUCUCCUCCUCCGUUGUGUGCUUGGCGAAGCCCUGUCGGAGUACUGCCUCUCCACCAUCACCACGCCGUUGUGCUGCCGGUGGAGCUGUCUUCCUCAACCUCUCCUUUCCCCUUGCUGGAUCAAGAAGGAGGAGACGUCUCCUGUCCCGUACGUGUGUUGAACGCGGAGGUGCUGUCCGUUCAGCACUUGGUCAUCGGUGAUUUGAAUCACGUCGAGUACGACUACAUCAUCACCUUGCAAGCUUCCGCACGCGAUCUACAAGUGGUAUGUUGAUGCAAACUCUCUCCCUUGACUCGUUGCUUAGAUGAACUCAUAGAUGGAUCUUGGUGAAACCGUAGGAAAAAUUUUAAUUUUCUGCAACGUUCCCCAACACCCUCCACCUACCUGUUCCUCGCCGAAUCGCUAGGAUCUAAACUACGAAAGGAUCAACACAAGAGACACAGGGUUUAUACUGGUUCAGGCCACCAUUGUGGUGUAAUACCCUACUCCAGUGUGUGGUGUGGUGGAUUGCCUCUUGGGCUGAUGAUGAACAAUACAAGGAAGAACAGCCUCGCGAGGGUCUGUUCUUGACUGGUGCGAUGAACUGCUAGGAGGAGUUCAGUCACCCUAUCUCUCUCUCUUUCUAUUCUAGAUGUAUGCCAGAUACCAGAUGAUCCUCUACCCUGGGGGUGGCUAGUCCUAUUUAUAGGCAAAGGCCCUGGGCCUCUUCCCAAAUAUUGAGCGGGAAGGGCGCCAACAAUUGGCCAUUUUGAAGGGGAACAACGGGUACACUUAUCCUGACUAAAGUUGGUCCUCGCCUGUCAAAGGCUCUGGUGGUGAUGCUGGCUUGGGCUCCACGGUGACCUCCAUCCUGCCGUUGGACUGGUCUUGGUCUUGUUGCACCAAAAUGGAUGCCUUUGCUUGAUGCUCUCGCCUGCGCUUGCUCUCCUUGCACCAAAGAGGAAAGGAGGACACUGCGCGGGCUGGCGCCCGAUUGGCGCCCUUGGUCGUCAUGGCUUGCGUCAUGGGCACCUCGCGAGGUACCCUGCCUUGAACUCUCCGCCUCCUCCUGAGCCAGCCUGAUGAGGCCAUGCCUGAGGAAGCUCCUUGUCGUCCGCCCCACGAGGCUUGGCCCCUCACGAGGGUCUUGAGCUUGUGUUGAUGAAGAUGGGCCAUGCUGGGCCCCCUUUGAGCCACGCCGCAGGCCGCAGGCAGGCAAGUCUGGGGACCCCCGUUCCCAGAACGCCGACAGUAGCCCCCGGGCCCAAGGCGCGCCCGGACUUGGCCGAGCAGUGAGGCGAAAGGGCAAGUGCGAAGCACCGCGGGCCCUUACAGCCUGCGGCCUUGGGCGCCACGUGGCGGUUGAUUGGACGUGGGCGUCUCCACUUCCCCAUGAUGCCUCGGCGACUGCAUGAAUUGUCAAGUCCCUGCAUGUGAAGCGAGUCAUGAUUACCUGUGGUCGUGGGGGCCGAUGGUUGGCCUCCUCUGUCCUUAAGUACGACACGCCGCGUGCCCUUCCAGUUCAUCCCCUCUUGCAUCCCCUUCUUCCUCAUGGCUCCGUCAAGGAAGUUCUCGGCCGUAGAGAAGGGAAAGGCCCGCCAGGCUGCGCCUGCCUCUCCCCUGCCCAAGCGCCGCCGAGGCCGCCCUCGCAAACACCCUGUGGCCUCCGCGGCGGCUCCCCGUGGCCGCGGAGGUGACUUCCCAUGUGGCGACGGGCGGCCGGCCGCGGACAGGGGGUGUGUUUCGGCCGUGCGACCCCCGAGGCCGCGCUCCCGCGCUGCAGAGGUGCUGCCGGAGUUUGUUGUGUGGGCGGCGGAGCCGACCAACACCCGGCUUCAGCUCCCUCGCUUCUUCCUAGGUGACCUCCCAGCUGGCACCUUGGGUGGCCUCUGGCUCCAGGCAGAUGGCUGCUGCAGCCGGGCCUCGUGGGCUUUGCUGGAGGUCUCCGCCGCCGGGAGCCUGGCCUUGACCCGCGGCUGGCAGACGUUUGCCCACGCGCGUGGCUUGAGCCGCCGGUGCACUCUACACUUCAAGUUCGACGGCGAUGCCACCCUUUACGUGAGGGUGUUUGGGGAAUAUGGUCGCCGCGCAGGGUGCUGCCCUGAAGACGACGACCGCGGCCGAGGACUCAGCCCCGGUGAGGACGGAGAGGACAGCAUGCGCGUGGUUGGCAGUGCCCAGGGUUCCUCAAGCUUCACUGGCUCCUCUUCGGGCAGCAACUCUUCUAGCAGCGGCCGCGGUCAGCCUCCACGCCGUCGUGCCUGCUUGGGGGGUGGUAGCGGGUCUGCCCGCCGUCGCACCCUGGUGAAGCGCGAGAGGGAGUCCACUUGAGCUCCGGAGGCAGCUCGAGUCCUCCCUGAGGGCCGGGGCCUGGAGAGCUUCGCCUAAUUUGUUCUUCCUUUUCCUUUUUCCUGCACAAAAAGACAGCAAUGUGGGGCCCCGUGGGGGCGUGUUUGGGUUACCGUUGUUAAUCAUCAUACUGUUUCCGUUAUUUUGGUGUUGUUCCUCCCUGCCGUACGCCUGUACGUAGGUAAUCCCCAGCCUUAGCCAUGGGGCGACCGACCCAGGUCCUGUAUUCGUGUCACGGUGCCCGUGAGGCACGGACUGGAGGGGUGCUCCUGUAGUGGACCCGGGUUGUGAGGCCUUGACCGAAAGGACCAAAACACUCGCGAGGGCGCUCGGCCGCCCCCUCGCGAGACCUUGCGCAAGAGAAAUCGAGGCUGGAGGGCGAAAAGUCGAAGAGCCAUAAGUCAAAAGACGGCGAUAGUUUCCAUAAAACUUCAAAUGAGAAUGAACCAGCCAACUGCAGAAAGCAAAUGAAAAAGCCGCGUCCGGCACCUAGUCUAGUCUUCGAUGUCUUCUCACUAGCACGAAGCUAAGUGCUGCCACUGGGCGUGGGAGGGAGCCCCAGGGCCUGAGGCCGACGCUCCUGAGACUCCGGGGCGUGUACAACCCCAACUCAUUAUUACGUGAGAGUGUCACGGGCGGCGAGCUUCACAGGCGUUGGCCUUCUUCACAGGCUCCGGGCCUUUCUUCGGGGAAGCAAUCUUCACGGGCAUUGGCCCUCUUCACAGGCUCCGGGCCUUUCUUCGGGGAAGCAAGCUUCACGGGCAUUGGCCCUCUUCACAGGCUCCGGGCCUUUUCCAAAAAGAUGAUCUUCACAGGCAUUCGCCUUCUUCACAGGCUCUGGGCCUUUUCCAAAAAGAUGAUCUUCACAGCCAUUCGCCUUCUUCACAGGCUCUGGGCCUUUUCCAAAAAUAUGAUCUUCACAGGCAUUCGCCUUCUUCACAGACUUUGGGCCUUUUCCAAAAAGAUGAUCUUCACAGGCAUUCGCCUUCUUCACAGGCUCUGGGCCUUUUCCAAAAAGAUGAUCUUCACAGGCAUUCGCCUUCUUCACAGGCUCUGGGCCUUUUCCAAAAAGAUGAUUUUCACAGGCAUCCGCCUUCUUCAUAGGCUCUGGGCCUUUUUUAGGGGUAAAACCUCCGGAGGUGCGGGAUGUUCCACGCAUUCUGGACUGGCACCCCCUCCUGAGUCCCCAAGCGCGUGGAGCCAGGCCUGGAAACAUGAACAACCUUGAACGGGCCCUCCCACAUGGGAGAGAGCUUAUGCAGUCCCUCCCUGGAGAGAACCCGCCCGAGCACGAGGUCCCCUACCUCAAGAGUCCUGGGGCGGAUGUUGCGGCAGUGGUAUCGCUGCAGCACUUGUUGAUAUCUCGCCGCUCGCAAUGCGGCUUCUCGGCGACGCUCCUCCCCCAGCACGAGGUCCAUCCCCCGCAUGGUGUCCUGCUGCGCUUUGUCGAACGCCAGGACCCGUGCGGAACGAUGUCUGACCUCAUGACGGAGGACCGCCUCGGCUCCAUAGACCAAGAAGAACGGGGUCUCUCCACUCGGCUUGGUUGCGGUCGUGCGGAUGGACCACAACACGGACUGAAGCUCGUCGUGCCAGCCUCUGCCGCAGGCUUCCAGCUUCUUCUUGAAUGUUCUGGUCUUGAGGCCCCUCAGGACCUCCUCGUUGGCCCGCUCGGCUUGGCCGUUGCUUCGGGGGUGCGCCACUGAAGCGUAGCAUAUCUGCGUUCCAAGGUUAGCACAGUAUGUUUUGAAGAGGUUACUGGUGAACUGCGAACCGUUGUCGGUGAUGAUGCGGUUCGGCACCCCAAACCGGCUCACGAUGCCCUUGAUGAACUUGACCGUUGAACCCGCGGGGAUGGUGCGGACAGCUUUCACUUCGGCCCACUUGGUGAACUUGUCCACGGCGAUGUAGAGGUAGCGAUAGCCCCCUGGCGCCCGAGGAAACGGGCCCAGGAUAUCAAGCCCCCAGACUGCGAAUGGCCACGUGAGGGGUAUGGUCUGCAGACCUCCCGCCGGCUGAUGGAUCUGUUUUGCAUGGAAUUGACAGGCUUCGCAAGCCUUUACCAGUUCGAAGGCGUCACUGAGCGUAGUAGGCCAAUAGAAGCCGCUGCGGAAUGCCUUUCCCACGAGGGUUCGUGAUGACGAGUGGUGCCCAUAGUCUCCACCGUGUAUAUCCGCCAACAGCUCUUUCCCUUGCUCCCUGGAGAUGCAGCACAAGGACACAUCAUUUGGUCGCUUCCGGUAGAGUUCCCCAUCCCUGAUGCAGUAUGCUGUGGCUUUCCGCGCCACACGCUCCGCUUCUUCUUCCUUCUCCGGCAGGGUCCCUUGCAUUAAGUAACUCCGGAGCUCUGUGAUCCAGCACCCCUCCUGAGGCUCCAUUGCCAGGAGUAGGCAUGCUCCUGAGGCUGGGCCACAGGCCGGGGCUCCCGAGGCAGGCGGCUGGGGGAGCUCCUCCCGAGGCUGUGCCGCGUUUGAUAGUGAUGGCAUGGCCGAGGGCUUGAAGAGCUGCUCCUCGAAGACGCCAGACUCCUGAGGCAGCCGCAUGGAUGCUUGUUUGGCGAUGUCGUCGGCCUCUUGGUUAGUGCCGCGGGGCACGUGUUGUAGCUCUAACCCCCAGAACUGCUUUUCCAUCCCGCGGACCUCCACAAGAUAGGCCUCCAUGUGCUCAUCUCGUGGCUCAUAUACCUUGUUGGAGAAGUUGACAAGGAGCUGUGAAUCACCCUUGAUGGUAAGGCGCUUCACCCCCAGGGCUGCGGCGGCCUUCAACCCCGCUAUCAGUCCCUCAUAUUCUGCUAUAUUGUUGGAGACCUUUUCACCCUGCUGGAAGCAGAGUUGCACGGUGUAGUACAACUUGUCCUGAGCAGGAGAUAUGAGCACUGCCCCAGCCCCAGCACCAUGCCCGGAGAACGCCCCGUCGAAGUACAUGACCCAGCCUUCUGGCGCCUCGCUCCCCGGGGAGAGGGAUCGGUCCUCGUCGGUCUUGAGGUCCGGUGCUUCCGUCCAUUCAGCCACGAAAUCUGCUAGCGCGACACCCUUGAUGACCCUGGUCGUGCUGAAUUCGAGCUGAAACACUUGCAGUUCCGUGUUCCACUCGGCGACCCUUCCGGCCGAGUUAGGGCUCCUGAGCACCCUUUCCAAGGGGUAUGCUGAGACAACCUUGAUCGGGUGACCCCGGAAGUAGUGCCGCAUCUUGCGCGAGGCCACCAGCAGCGUGAGGAGGAGCUUCUGUGGCAUGGGGUACCGUGCCCUCGCAUCCCGCAACACUGUGCUGACGAAGUACACCGGGUGCUGGACGAGGCUUGGAGCGUCGGCGCUGGUGGCGUCCUCCAGAGGCCAUGGCGCUUGUUGAGGCGAUGGGGCCUCCGGAAGCUGGUUGCCUGGGGGAAGGGCCUCUCCCACUCCCGGUGCGUUCCCCUGCGGCGGCUGAUCUUCCUCAGUCGUGGUAGUGAUCUUUGCGAGUCCUUUUUGGUCCUGCUUUGCCUUGGCACAGGUAGCUGCCGUGGCCUUGGUCCGACACUCCUCCCUAACCGCCACCAGAGCCGCGCUGGCGGAGUAAGGAGUGGCGGCAAGGUAGAGUACCAAGGGCUCUCGAGGGCGUGGGGCCACCAUCACCGGAGGGCUGGUUAGGUAUCUCUUGAGAUCUUGGAACGCCUUGUCGGCCUCUUCAGUCCAUUCAAAGGGCCCCUUUUUCUUCAUCAGCUGGAAGAAAGGCAGCGCUCGCUCCCCUAACCUGGAGAUGAAGCGCCCCAGCGCAGUCACGCGCCCAGUGAGCUUCUGCAUCUCUCUGAGGGUCUUUGGCGGGCUCAUGUCCUCGACCGCCUUGACCUUUUCUGGGUUGGCCUCGAUGCCUCGGUGGGACACGAAGAAGCCCAAGAGCUUGCCCGAGGGGACUCCAAACACACACUUCUCCGGGUUGAUCCGUAGGCUCACUGCGUUGAGGUUUGCAAAGGUUUCCUCCAGGUCUUGUAUCAGGGUCUUGGCCUCGCGAGACUUCACUACAAUGUCGUCGACGUACGCUUCCACAUUCUUCCCGAGUUGCGGGCCUAGGGUGAUGUGCAUGAGCCGCUGAAAGGUUGCCCCCGCGUUGCACAGUCCGAAGGGCAUGCAUGUAUAGCAGUACACCCCACACGGGGUUAGGAAGGCCGUCUUCUCCAUGUCUUCCACCGCCAUCUUGAUCUGGUGAUACCCGGAGAAGGCAUCCAAGAAGCAUAAUAGGUCACACUCAGCGGCGGAAUCGACGAUCUGAUCGAUGCGCGGGAGCGGGAAUGGAUCUUGCGGGCAUGCUUUGUUGAGGUUGGUGAAGUCGACACACAUGCGUUCCUUCCCUCCCUUCUUUGGCACAACCACAGGGUUGGCCAACCAAUAUGGAUAUCGGACCUCGCGAAUGACCCCCGCGGCUUCUAGCUUGCGGGUCUCCUGGACGAUGAAGGCCUGCUUUUCAGUGGACUGCCGCCUUGCUUUCUGCUUCACGGGGCGCACGUUGGGGCACACGUUGAGGUGGUGCUCGAUCACGCCCCGUGGGAUCCCUGCCAACUGAUCGGGCUCCCAAGCGAACACCUUCUUGUUUGCACGCAGGAACUUGACCAGGGCUUCCUCCUGCUCAGGCCCGAGGUGGGCACCUAUGGUGAAAGUGGCGCUAGUGGACCCGUCCUCGUCGACGGGUAUCUGCUUGGUCUCCGCCUUGUCUUGGGUGAACAACUGUUUCUUCUUGGCUGGUGCAGCCCCCUUGGGCUCGGGGGCCCCCACGUCGACGGGCUGUGCCGACGCCGCCGUCUUGAAGGCGAACUUGAGCGCUCGCAGCGCAUCCCCGGCGUCCCCAGGCACGAUGAGGACUCUGCUACUCCCGGGCAUCUUCAUAAGGUUGUAUGCCGGGUGAGUCGCGACCAUGAAUUGGGCCAGUGCUGGGUAGCCGAUGAUGGCAUUGUAGGGGAGGCCGAUGAGGGCGAUAUCAAAAUCGACCAGCUCCGUGCGGAAGUUGUCGUAGGUGCCGAAAGUUACUGGGAGCCGGAUCUGUCCCAAGGAGUUGGAAGACCCGCCCCCGACGCCCAUGAAGGGCCGGCUGGGCUGCAGCCGCUCCCGGGGUAUGCGGAGGAGGUUGAAGGUCUCGACUGAGAGCACAUUGAGGCCCGCGCCACCGUCGAUGAGGGUCCUGGUGACAGCCACCUGGCAGAUGGUGGGGGUGCACAGCAUGGGGAGCGCACCCGAGCAGGCCGAGUUGGAGGGGUGGUCCUCCGAGCUGAAGGCUAGCCGGGCCUGCGGCUCUGACUGGUCCCGGGGAGUCCCCUGCCGCAUGGAGGCGGCGCCGACCCGGCGGAUGAACAGCUUGACAUGGUGACUGGAGGGCGGCGCCUGCGAGCCGCCCAGGAGGGCCGCGACGACCGGGGAGGCUGGCGCGGCGUGGUGGGCGAGGAAGAGGUCGCGCGGCUUUUCCCAAGAGGCCACAGAGGGACGCAGGGGCAAUACCUGCUGCUCGUUCCCCACCGAGCCGGUGGCGGUGUUGACGGCAGGCAACGGGGAAUGACGAGGGCGUCCACCGACGGGAGCCGUCUGGGCGACUCGAGCGGCGAGAGCAGCCCGACGAGCGUCAGACAUGGAUGCGACGGUCGGAGAAGAGCAGGGCAACGGAAGGCGAAUUCCGGCGCACCCCUACCUGGCGCGCCAAAUGUCGGAUUUCGGGUUCCGGCAGACCCUUGAGGUUCGAACACUGGGGUGCGCGCGGAGAUUAUGCCCUCCACCUACCUGUUCCUCGCCGAAUCGCUAGGAUCUAAACUACGAAAGGAUCAACACAAGAGACACAGGGUUUAUACUGGUUCAGGCCACCAUUGUGGUGUAAUACCCUACUCCAGUGUGUGGUGUGGUGGAUUGCCUCUUGGGCUGAUGAUGAACAAUACAAGGAAGAACAACCUCGCGAGGGUCUGUUCUUUACUGGUGCGAUGAACACCUAGGAGGAGUUUAGUCGCCCUAUCUCUCUCUCUUUCUAUUCUAGAUGUAUGCCAGAUACCAGAUGAUCCUCUACCCUGGGGGUGGCUAGUCCUAUUUAUAGGCAAAGGCCCUGGGCCUCUUCCCAAAUAUUGAGAGGGAAGGGCGCCAACAAUUGGCCAUUUUGAAGGGGAACAACGGGUACACUUAUCCUGACUAAAGUUGGUCCUCGCCUGUCAAAGGCUCUGGUGGUGACGCCGGCUUGGGCUCCACGGUGACCUCCAUCCUGCCGUUGGACUGGUCUUGGUCUUGUUGCACUGAAAUAGAUACCUUUGCUUGAUGCUCUCGCCUGCGCUUGCUCCCCUUGCACCAAAGAGGAAAGGAGGACACUGCGCGGGCUGGCGCUCGACUGGCGCCCUUGGUCGUCAUGGCUUGCGUCAUGGGCACCUCGUGAGGUACCCUGCCUUGAACUCUCCGCCUCCUCGUGAGCCAGCCUGAUGAGGCCGUGCCUGAGGAAGCUCCUUUCGUCCGCCCCGCGAGGCUUGGCCCCUCGCGAGGGUCUUGAGCUUGUGUUGAUGAAGAUGGGUCGUGCUGGGCCCCCUUUGAGCCACGCCGCAGGCCGCAGGCCGGCAAGUCUGGGGACCCCCAUUCCCAGAACGCCGACAGGAACCCCUUGUGGCUGAAGGAGAAGGACAAUGCUCCACUCAAGUGGAGCCAUUGAAGGAAAUAUGCCCUCGAGGCAAUAAUAAAGUUAUUAUUUAUUUCCUUAUUUCAUGAUAAAUGUUUUUUAUGCAUGCUAGAACUGUAUUAACCGGAAACUUAGUACAUGUGUGAAUACAUAGACAAAAGUAGUGUCCCUAGUAUGCCUCUACUUGACUAGCUUGUUAACCAAAGAUGGUUAUGUUUCCUAACCAUAGAUAUGUGUUGUCAUUUGAUGAACGGGAUCACAUCAUUAGGAGAAUGAUGUGAUGGACAUGACCCAUCCGUUAGCUUAGCAUUAUGAUUGUUACAGUUUCAUUGCUACUGCUCUCUUCAUGACUUAUACAUGUUCCUCAGACUAUGAGAUUAUGCAACUCCCGAAUACCGGAGGAACACUUUGUGUGCUACCAAACAUCACAACAUAAAUGGGUGAUUAUAAAGGUUCUCUACAGGUAUCUCCGAAGGUGUUUGUUGGGUUGGCGAAAAUCGAGAUUAGGAUUUGUCACUCCGUGUUUCGGAGAGGUGUCUCUGGGCCCUCUCGUUAAUACUCAUCACUAUAAGCCUUGCAAGCAUUGUGACUAAUGGGUUAGUUGCGGGAUGAAGUAUUACAAAACGAGUAAAGAGACUUGCCGGUAAUGACAUUGAACUAGGUAUGAUGAUACUAACAAUCGAAUCUCGGGCAAGUAACAUACCGAUGACAAAGGGAACAACGUAUGUUGUUAUGCGGUUUGAUCGAUAAAGAUCUUCGUAGAAUAUGUAGGAGCCAAUAUGAGCAUCCAGGUUCCGCUAUUGGUUAUUGACCGGAGAUGUGCCUCGAUCAUGUCUACAUAGUUCUCGAACCCGUAGGGUCCGCACGCUUAACAUUCGAUGAUGAUUUGUAUUAUGAGUUAUGUGAUUUGAUGACCAAAGUUUGUUCGGAGUCCCAGUUGAGAUCACGUACGUGAUUAGGAGUCUCGAAAUAAUUGAGACGUAAAGAUCGAUAUAUUGGAAGGCUAUAUUCGGACAUCAGAAAGGUUCUGAGUGAUUCGGGUAUUUUUUGGAGUACCGGAGAGUUAUGGGAAUUCGCCGGGGGAAGUAAUGGGCCUUAAUGGGCCAUACGGGAAAGGAUAGAAGGGCCUCAAGGGGUGGCCGUGCGCCCCCCCAUGGGCUGGUACGAAUUGGACUAGGAGGGGGCGGUGCCCCCCUCCUUCCUUCUCCCAUCUUCUUCCUUCACUCCUUAUCCUACUAGGAAUAGGAAAGAGGAGGGGAAUCCUACUUGGACUGGGGAGUCCUAGUAGGAUUCCCCACACCUAGCGCCGGCCACCUCUUCCCUCCCCUCCUUUAUAUACGUGGCCAGGGGCACCCCAUAGACACACAAGUUGAUCAAGUUGAUCUUUUAGCCGUGUGCGGUGCCCCCUCCAUAGAUUUCCACCUCAGUCAUAUCGUCGUAGUGCUUAGGCGAAGCCCUGCACCGGUAACUUCAUCAUCACCGUCACCACGCCGUCGUGCUGAUGGAACUCUCCCUCGGCCUCAGCUGGAUCUAGAGUUCGAGGGACGUCACCGAGUUGAACAUGUGCAGAUCGCGGAGGUGCCAUGCAUUCGGUACUUGAUCAGUUGGAUCGCGAAGACGUUCGACUACAUCAACCACGUUACAUAACACUUCCGCUUUCGGUCUACGAGGGUACGUGGACACACUCUCCCCUCUCAUUGCUAUGCAUCACAUAGAUAGAUCUUGCGUGAUCGUAGGAUUUUUUUUUGAAAUUACCGCGUUCCCCAUCAGCCAUCACCUACGCUAGACCCACACGCUUCCGAAGAACAAAAUGAAGGCCCUCAACCCAAUGAGCAAGAUCAAGGGCAAGAUCAACUCCACGGAGAUGAUGAUGUACUAAAUGAUGCCCAAGAUCAACUUCAUGCCUCCGAGCUCGCUCGAUACCAAGAGCAAGCUCAAUGUCAAGAGCAAGCUCAAGACGGUGCUCAAGAUCAAGAGCAAGCUUAAGAUCAAGAGCAAACUCAAGACGGUUCUCAAGAUGUGCAAGAUGAUCCUCAAAUGCCCAUUGAUGAACUUUUGGAGCACUGUGCCGCUAAGGUGGCUUCUAAGCUCGAGCAUCAACAACAUGUCAUGGAGAAUGUGGUUGGAAGCUUGAUAAAAGGGGUAAUUACUCGUAAACAAUUGUCAAACUUUUGUGAGCAUCACGCGUUUGUUUCGUGUGUUGAACCCCAAAAGGUACAUGAGGCGCUCGAUGAUGAGGAUUGGCUUGAAGCAAUGCACGAUGAACUCAACAACUUUGAGCGCAAUCAAGUUUGGGAAUUAGUGCCAGGACCAACAGAGGAACAUAAUGUCAUUGGAACCAAAUGGAUCUUCAAGAACAAGCAAGAUGCAAAUGGUGUGGUUGUCCAAGACAAUGCAAGAUUGGUGGCACAAGGCUACUCCCCAGUUGAGGGUAUCGACUAUGGUGAAACCUUUCCUCCCAUUGCUCGUCUUGAAUCUAUUCUCAUAUUGCUUGCUUAUGCAUGUCAUCAUGACUUUAAAUUGCAACAAAUGGAUGUGAAAAGUGCAUUUCUUAUUGGUCCUUUGAAUGAGUUGGUGUAUGUCAAACAACCUCCGAGAUUCGAGGAUCCCAAGUUCCCCACUCAUGUAUGCAAACUUAAUAAGGUGCUCUAUGGACUUAAACAAGCCCCACGUGCGUGGUAUGAGCACCUUACCGAGUUGUUGCAAAAUCAUGGGUUUGAAAUUGGGAAAAUUGAUCCCACUCUUUUUACUAAGAGGGUCAAAGGGGAUUUUUUCAUAUGUCAACAAUAUGUUCAUGAUAUUAUCUUUGGUUCUCCUAACAAAUCUUUCAAUGAUGAGUUUGCCGCACUAAAGACCAAGAAGUAUGAGAUGUCUAUGAUGGGAGAGCUGAAGUUCUUUCUCGGGUUUGAAGUCAAGCAAAGAAGAGAAGGAACAUUCAUCAACCAAGCCAAGUAUACCCAAGACAUGCUCAAGGGAUUCAAGCUAGAUCAUGUCAAGCCGGUCAAGUUCCCCAUGCCAACCAAAUGCAAGCUUGACAGUGAUCCCAAUGUUAAAGCGGUGGAUCAAAAGGUAUAUUGUUCCAUGAUUGGAUCCUUGCUUUACCUUUGUGCAUCUAGACUAGAUAUCAUGUUGAGUGUGGGAAUUUUUUCACGGUUUCAAGCCACACCUAAGGAAAGCCACUAUGUGGCGGUCAAGCGAAUCUUUUGAUAUUUGGCUUGCUACGUCUUGAGCUUGCGUUGGUUUUCCUUGAAGAGGAAAGGGUGAUGCAGCAAUAGUAGCGUAAGUAUUUCCCUCAGUUUUUGAGAACCAAGGUAUCAAUCCAGUAGGAGGCUCCUGAAAAGUCCCACGCACCUACACAAACAAACAAAGAACUCGCAACCAACGCAAUAAAUGGGUUGUCAAUCCCUUCACGGCCACUUGCGAAAGUGAGAUCUAAUAAAGAUAGUAUGAUAAGAUAAAUAUAUUUUUGGUAUUUUAUAAUAUAGAUGCAAAAAGUAAAGAUGCAAAACUGGACUUGCACCCCUAGUUACACAAAAGUGCAAGCACAGAAGCGGAUGACCAAACCUUACCAACAUACUCAAAAAAGUAUUCUAUACUGGGGUCUGUGCUCUUGACAAGCAGUGUUUCCAGUCUAGCUAUGUCAAAUCGGGUGUAAAGUAGAUUGGAAGCAAAUAUGAUAAGAGAUAGACCCGGGGGCCAUAGGUUUCACUAGUGGCUUCUCUCAAGAUAACAUAAGUAUUACAGUGGGUGAACAAAUUACUGUCGAGAAAUUGAUAGAAAAGCGAAUAAUUAUGAGAUUAUGUAGGCAUGAUCAUGUAUAUAGGCAUCAUGUCCAUAACAAGUAGACCGACUCGUGCCUCUACUACUAUUACUCCACACAUCGACCGACUCAUGCCUGCAUCUAGAGUAUUAAGUUCAUAAGAAUAGAGUAACGCAUUAAGCAAGAUGACAUGAUGUAGAGGGAUAAACUCAAGCAAUAUGAUAUAAAUCCCAUCUUGUUAUCCUCGAUGGCAACAAUACAAUACGUGCCUUGCAACCCUUUCGGUCACUAGGUAAGGACACCGCAAGAUUGAACCCAAAGCUAAGCACUUCUCCCAUGGCAAGACAGAUUAAUAUAGUAGGCCAAACAAAACUGAUAAUUCGAAGAGACUUGCAAAGAUAACUCAAUCAUACAUAAAAGAAUUCAGAGAAGAUUCAAAUAUUAUUCAUAGAUAAACUUGAUCAUAAACCCACAAUUCAUCGGAUCUCGACAAACACACCACAAAAAGAGUUUACACCGAAUAGAUCUCCACAAGAGAGGGGGAGAACAUUGUAUUGAUCCAAAAAGAGAGAAGAAUCCAUCUAGCUAAUAACUAUGGACCCGUAGGUCUGUGGUAAACUACUCACAACUCAUCGGAGGGGCAAGGAUGUUGAUGUAGAAGCCCUUCGUGGUAGAUUCCCCCUUCGGCAGAAUGCCGGCGAAGGCUCCAAGAUGGGAUCUCGCGGAUACAGAAGGUUACAGUGGUGGAAAUUGUGUUUCGGGUGCUCCAUGGAUGUUUUUGGGGUAUGUAGGCUUAUAUAGGAGGAAGAAGUACGUCGGUGGACGCCCGAGGGGCCCACGAGACAGGGGGGCGCCCUAAGGGGGGGGGGCGCCCUCCUAUCUCGUGGGAGCCUCUGCUGCUUCUUGACUUGCACUCCAAGUCCUCUGGAUCACGUUCAUUCCAAAAAUCACGCUCCCGAAGGUUUCAUUCCGUUUGGACUCCGUUUGUUAUUCCUUUUCUUCGAAAUACUGAAAUAGGCAAAAAAAGAGCAAUACAGGCUGGGCCUCUGGUUAGCAGGUUAGUCCCAAAAAUGAUAUAAAUGUGUAAAAUAAAACCCAUAAACAUCCAAAAGGGGUAAUAUAAUAGCAUGGAACAACAAAAAAUUAUAGAUACGUUGGAGACGUAUCAAGCAUCCCCAAGCUUAAUUCCUGCUCGUCCUCGAGUAGGUAAAUGAUAAAAAAGAAAUUUUUGAUGUGGAAUGCUACCUAGCAUAAUUCUCAAUGUAAUUUUCUUUAUUGUGGCAUGAAUGUUUAGAUCCAAAUGAUUCAAGAUAAAAGCUUAUAAAACAUAAAAAUAGUAAUGCUUCAAAGCAUAAUAACAAAUAAUCAUGUCCUAUCAAAAUAGCAUAGCCAAAGAAAGCUUAUCCCUACAAAAUCAUAUAGUUAGGCCAUGCUUCAUUUUCAUUACACAAAAUGCUCCCAUCAUGCACAACGCCGAUGACGAGCCGAGCAAUUGUUUCAUACUUUUUAACGCGCUUCAGCUUUUUCAACUCUUACGCAAUAUAGGAGCUCAAGCCAUGGACAUAGCACUAUGGUGGUAUAUGGUGGUUGUGAGGACAAAAAGGGAGAAGAUAGUCUCACAUCAACUAGGCAUAUUAACGGGCUAUGGAGAUGCCCAUUAAUAGAUAUCAAUGUGAGUGAGUAGGGAUUGCCAUGCAACAGAUGCACUAGAGCUAUAAAUAUAUGAAAGCUCAACAAAAAGAAACUAAGUGGGUGUGCAUCCUACUCGCUUGCUCACGAAGACCUAGGGCAUUUUGAGGAAGCCCAUCAUUGGAAUAUACAAGCCAAGUUCUAUAAUGAAAAAUUCCCACUUAGUAUAUGAAAGUGACAACAUAGGAGACUCUCUAUCAUGAAGAUCAUGGUGCUACUUUGAAGCACAAGUGUGGAAAAAGAGAUAGUAGCAUUGUCCCUUCUCUCUUUUCCUCUCAUUUAUUUUUUCCCUUUUUUUUCUUUUUUUCUUUGGACUUUCUUUUUUCUUUCUUUCUGGCCUUUCUCUCUUUUCUUUUUCUUUUUUUUUCUUUCUCUUUUUUUGUAAAGUCCGAAGUCUCAUCCCGACUUGUGGGGGAAUCAUAGUCUUCAUCAUCCUUUCCUCACUGAGACAAUGCUCUAAUAAUGAAGAUCAUCACACUUUUAUUGAUUUACAACUCAAAAAUUACAACUUAAAGCUAGAACAAGAUAUGACUCUAUAUGAAUGCCUCCGGCGGUGUACCGGGAUAUGCAAUGAAUCAAGAGCGACAUGUAUGAAAAUUAUGAAGGUGGCCUUGCCACAAAUACGAUGUCAACUACAUGAUCAUGCAAAGAGCAAUAUGAAAAUGAUGGAACGUGUCAUAAUAAACGGAACGGUGGAAAGUUGCAUGACAAUAUAUCUUGGAAUGGCUAUGGAAAUGCCAUAAUAGGAAGGUAUAGUGGCUGUUUUGAGGAAGGUAAAUAAAAGAUUUAUGAUACCGGCGAAAGUUGCGCGGUAAUAAUAAAGGCUAGCAAAGCGGAAGGGUGAGUGUGCGUAUAUCCAUGGACUCACAUUAGUCAAAAAGAACUCAUAUACUUAUUGCAAAAGUCUACUUAGCCCUCGAAGCAAAGUACUACUACGCAUGCCCUAAGAGGGAUAGAUUGGUAGGAAAAUACCAUCGCUCAUCCCCGACUACCACUCAUAAGGGAGACAAUCAAAAGAGUACCUCAUGCAACAAAUUUGUCACACAACUUUUAUCAUACGUGCAUGCUACGGGACUUGCCAACUUCAACAAAAGUAUUUCUCAAUUUCAUAAUUACCCACUAGCAUGACCCUAACAUUACCACCUUUAUAUCUCAAAACAAUUAUCAAGCAUCAAAUUGAUCAUAGCAUCCAAUUCUCCUCCUAUGAUAGUUUUUAUUAUACCCAACUUGGAUGCUCAUCAUUUUAGGACCAACUUUGUGACCAUAGCAACAACCAUGCUGUUCUAAAAGGCUCUCAAAAGGAUAUAAGUGAAGCAUGAGAGACUAGCAAUUUCUUCAAAAAUAAGCCACCGCCGUGCUGUAAAAGGUAUAAGUGAAGCACUAGAGCAAAAACUAUCAAGCUCAAAAGAUAUAAGUGAAGCACAUAGAGUAUUCUAGCAAAUUCUAAUCAAAUAGGCUUCUCCCAAAAGUUGUGUACAGCAAGGAUGAUUGUGGUGAACUAAAAAGCAAAGACUAAUAUAAUACACGACGCUCCAAGCAAAACACAUAUCAUGUGGCGAAUAAAAAUAUAGCUCCAAGUAAAGUUACCAAUGAACGAAGACGAAAGAGGGGAUGCCUUCCAGGGGCAUCCCCAAGCUUAGGAUUUUGGCUAUUAUUGAAUAUCUUGGGGUGCCAUGGGCAUCCCCAAGCUUAGUCUCUUGCCAUCGUUUAUUCCAUAGUUCAUAAAAGCUUUACGCAAAACUUGAAAACUUCACGACACAAAACUCAACAAGAAAUCUUAUAAGCUCCGUUAGUGAAAGAAAACAAAACCACCACAUAAGUUAAUGCAAUGAACUCAUUAUUUAUUUAUAUUGGUGUUAAACCUACUGUAUUCCAACUUCUUUAUGGUUUAUAAACUAAUUUACUAGCCAUAGAUGCAUUGAAAUAAGCAAAUAACACACGAAAAACAGAAUCUGUCAAAAACAGAAUAGUCUGUAGCAAUCUGUAACUAACACAAACUUCUGGAACUCUAAAAAUCCUAACAAAAUAGGAAGUCCUGUACAAAUUGUUUAUUGAACAGAAGCAAAAAGAAUCAACGCAAAAUCACGUUCCUGUGAUUUAACAAAUUAUAUUCGUGCGUGCAAAGUUUCUGUUUUUCAGCAGAAUCAAAUCAACUAUCAUCAUAGGUUAUCCUAUAGGUUCUACUUGGCACAAACACUAAUUAAAAGAUAAAAGCACAUCUAUCCAGAAGGUAGAUGCAAGAUUUAUUACUAAACAGGAGCAAAAACAAAAAGCAUAAAUAAAAAAUUGAGUUGCCUCCCAACUAGCGCUAUCGUUUAACGCCCCUAGCUAGGCAUAAAAACAACGAAAUAUGUAUUUGGCAACCCUGUGCCCGAUUGCAAAAACGACCACACGUACUGAGAACGCUUCGAUCGUGAUCACGCGGCUGCUGGCGAUCUGCACAGGAGAAGAAGGAAAACUGACAGGAGCCUUAUCUCCUCGCUCGCACCCAUUUCCUCUCCUACCUAGCUCCGCCGUCGUCACGCACCCAACUCCUCCCCUUCUCUCGGCCGGCGCCGUCCCGCCCCCAUCUCCUCCCGGGCUUCUGCCGUGCCGCGACGGCCGAUCCGGUGCACAACCGCCGUCAGCCUCCUGUCGCACGACCGCCGCGUCCAUGCCCACCGCCGCUGCUCUCUAUCCCCAACCUUCCACCAUCUCCUCGACUCCACAAGUCAUCGUCGGUCCAACCCCGCGCGUCGUGUGCCUCCGCCACCUCUGACCACCGCCGCCGCUCAUCAAAUGGAAGAUCCACCGUCGCUGCCUACUACAUCGACAGGUGAGCUUAUGGUGAGUGCCUCCUUUGACCAUUCCGAGGAAAGUUUCCACUGGCGCAAUCAUCCUCUUUUCUCUCUCAGUUUUGUUCAAACAAUAUAGCAUUGAAUCAGUUACUAUGGAAAUUGAAAAAUUCCUUCUCUGAAGUCCUAGUUUGAUGGACAGAAGUCUUCAAAAAUUCUAAAUUGUCAUCUAUUUUUGUCAUGGUAUGAGUGCCCUCAACUUGUUUGUAAUUAUACCUAUGAGACUGAAUAAAUUAUUUUCAAUUGUAUGUGUAUGUGACAGGUUCCUGAUCAUGGUGCCAUAAUUGCGCUCAUCCUCUAUGGGGUCCAUCAGAACUGAAGUGCAUUGCUCGAUCAACCCAUUUGGUUGCUAUUCUUAAAUUGUGUGAUAUGUGGUAAUCGAAUGUACAUCACCAAUGGCCUGAGAUUGACAUCGACGUGCACUGUUUCAGCUACAUAUCAUGAAAGGGCCUCAAGACCUUCCGAAAGCUGCACAAACAUGGCGUCAUCGAUCUUGGGGCUGACCAUUCAGGUACUUUUGUUUCCUUCUGUUCUUGGCCUUGAGACCAGUUGACAUGAGGAGUAUUUUGUUCCGAGGAAGUAUAAAGUCUGAACCUUAUAACUUACAGUGUCAGCUUGGUCACUUCUAGUGGGUCAGCAUGAUAACGAUCACUUUGCUAACCUGUCUAACUCAUUUUAUUUUUCAGCAUAGUAAUUCAAUUACUUCCACCUGAUAAUUCAUAUUGAUUUAGCUUGAUAAAUUAUAUCGUGCCAAUAGUUUAACUCGAACCGCUUUGAAUACUUAUUCUUUUUUAUUUUAACCAGAUAACUUAUGAAACUUCAGCCUGAUAACUUGUGAUGUAUCAAAAUGUUUAACUCUAACUGGUUUGAACACUCAUGUUUUAACUUCAACUUGAUGACUUAUGCGGCUUGAACCUGAUAAUUUAUAGUAUGUCGGCCUGAAUAAAUUCUAGUGUGUCAACAUGGUAAGAAUCACUUUGUUAGCCCAUUUAACUAAUUUUAUUUUUUUCAACAUGGUGACUUGAAAUUUUUUUGAUUGAUAAUUCAUAUUGUUUUAGCCUGAUAAUUUAUACUGUGUCAGCAUUUUUAAUCCGAUCUGCUUUGAACAGUUUUUUUACUUUCAACCCGAUAAUUAUGCAAACUGAGCAUGAUAACAAUAUGCCAGCUUGAUAACUUUGAAGUGUCACCACAUUUAACUCACACUUUGUCAACAUGUUGAACUCAUUCUAUUUUUUGGCAUGGUAACUUCAUUUUAGCAUGAUAAUUUAUGAUGUGUCAGCACAAUAACUUGUAUUUGUUUUGGCCGAUAACUUUGUAUUGUUUCGACCUGAUAAACCACAUUUCUCUUUAUCUUAUCAGAUGGCGGAGAGCCUCAUUAACACGGGCUUCUCCAACUGCCGGAUGGCCAUCCGCCAACAUUCCUUCAUGCUCGUUGUAGUCACCCGCUCCGAGUCGCUCAACCUUAGGGCAGCCAUCGGCGCCACCAAGCUCGCCAGCACGCUCGUCUCGCUAGACGGCGCCAUGGUGAUCACCUUCUACACAGGUGUGGUCUUCAGCUUCAUCCAGGUCACCGUGCAGGGCAACCUCGCCGGCUAGACCAUCUCCAGCAAGUUCCAGAUCAUCACUUUCAUGUACUCCGUAAGAAACCAACCAACCAUCAUGCUUUUGAAUUGCUUGCUACAUUAUGCACAACAUGGCUUGCCGCUGAUCGACUUUGAUUGAUUUUACCUGAAUUCGGGUUGUGGUCGCGUCUGGCAUGUCCUUCGUGAUGAUGCAUUCCUCCAUGAUGUUGACAUGGUGCAUCGACCCAUGACCUAGCCUCUUCAGUGGGAAAUUCUGACCACGCUAACCAGGUAAGCUACAUCAUGCUUGUGCUAAGAUUGACCAAUCCAUGUUGCUGUUCAUUCAUGGAACUAGUGAAUCAAAAAACAAAAUCACAGAAGACCCAAAACUCAUGGAAUCGACCCAUAGAUUAUAUAAAAAUAGCAUGUGGUUGUUGAAAAACAUACUCUGGAUAACUUAUAUAAAAAUAGCAUGGUAAUAUAUGAGCAACAUACUUGAUAACGUAGGUCAAACACCACGGUAACUCUGUCCAAGGAGGGGAACAAGUUGUUGAAAAACAUAGUCCCAGUAACUUAUGUGAAAAUAGCAUAUUAAUAAAUGAACCGAUACUCGAUAACAUGCAUACAAACACCACGAUAACUUUGAACAGUGGAAAAAUGUUAUUGAAAAUAUACCCUUGGUAGCUUUUGUGAAAAAAACAUGAUAAUAUAUGAACCAUAUACCUGAUAACUUAGGUAUAAAUACCAUGGUAAAUUUGACCAAGAAGGGGAAAAAGUUCUUGAAAAACAUACUCCUAAUAACUUAUGUGAAAAUAACACGGUAAUGUAUGAACCGCAUACCCGAUAAGUACGUAUAAACACCGUGAUAACUUCGAGCAAGGAGGGGGGAAAGUUACUGAAAAAUGUACCCCUAGUAAAUUAUGUGAAAAUAGCACGGUAAUACAUGAGCCGCAUACCCGAUAAGUUACUUACAAACACCAUGGUAAAUUUGAUCAAAGGGGAAAAUAUUAAAAAAACAUACGCCGGUUACUUAUGUGAAAAUAGCACGGUAAUAUACAAACCACAUACCUGAUAACUUACAUAAGACACAGCGUUAAAUUUAACCAAGGGUGAAAAGGUUGUUGAAAAAUACCCCUCAUUAACUUCUAUGUAAAUAAAAUGGUAAUAUACGACCAACAUAGUUGAUAACUUAGGUGAAAAUAUUGUGGUAAUUUGCAUCUAAAAAGGAGGGAAGGGGAUGAUCGGGUUUGUGAACCAUGUGAACCGGCGUGAAACAUGUAGGAAAAAUGAUGGAACUAGGGCAUAUAGUCCUAAAACCCGGACAAGUGAGGCCACUGGUUUGGAUUUUCAGUUAUUGACCGCUGUCUUUUUUUUUCAAUCUCGUCUCAGGAAGAUACAAUUUCUAUGUAACUCUUGUAGAAUCAGCAAAGGGAGCUAGAUCAGCUGGUUGUUGUUGUUGUUACAUUUAGUACGGUAGGUUGUGGGUUCGAUCCUCUUGUAAGGCCUGUGUUUUUGCCUUUUUUUAAACUGCAGAUAGUGCGGGUGCAGCGACCCAGAAAACUGGGGAGAGCACGCAACCUCAUGUGCGGGGAGGAGAAAAUCGGAUCGAAGGAGGGGGUUCGUUCGGGAGGUGCGGUACUUUUGCAAUCUGCCACAUGGUUGACAGUUAUCACAAUCCUAAAAACAAAGAUGGAUCUAAUGAGUGCCAUCUUUGGCACUAAAUUCAUAAGUAGCACGCAUGAUAGAUUCAUAAGGUAAUUUGACUUUCUUUCUUGGAAAGUGCUCCAUGCCUUUCUUUAAUGGAAAUUGGAAUCUAAUGUUCCCUUCCUUCAUAUCAAUAAUCGCACCAAUCGUUCUAAGGAAAGGUCUACCAAGAAUAAUAGGGCAAGAAAGAUUGCAAUCUAUAUCAAGAACGAUAAAAUCUACGGGCACCAAAUUUCUAUUUGCAAUGAUAAGAACAUCAUUGAUCCUUCCCAUAGGCUUUUUAAUGGUGGAAUCCGCAAGGUGCAAAUUUAAAGAGCAAUCAUCAAGAUCAUGGAAACCUAGAAUAUCACAUAGGGUUUUCGGAAUCGUGGAAACACUAGCACCCAAAUCACACAAAGCAAAACACUCAUCAUCUUUAAUUCUAAUCUUUAUAGUAGGUUCCCACUCAUCAUUAAGUUUUCUAGGUAUAGAAACUUCCAAAUUAAGUUUUCAUCAUAAGAUUGCAUCAAGGCAUCAACAAUAUGUUUGGUAAAAGCUUUAUUUUGACUAGAAGCAUGAGGAGAAUUAACAACGGAUUGCAACAAGGAAAUACAACCUUUUAAAGAGCAAUUAUCAUAAUCAAAUUCCUUGAAAUCUGAGAUAGUAAGUUCAAUAUUAUUAGAAGUAGAGGAUUCUCCAAUCUCACUUUUACCAAUUUUAGCAUCAAGAUCUAAAGACUCCAAUUUUUGGGACGCCUUCUAGGCAAAGUUGAUUCAUCAUCACCCCAUAAUCAUCAAAAUUCAUAUUGCAAAACAUAGAUCUAAUCGGAGACGCAUCAAUAAAUUUAAGAUCCUCAUCAUUAUUUUCACGGAGACUAGAGGAACACGCUUUUACAAAGCUUUCUUUUUUAGCACGCAAUCUAGCGGUUCUUUCCUUGCACUCAUCAAUGGAAAUUCUCAUUACUUUGAGAGACUCACUGAUAUCAUGUUUAGGAGAAGAAGAUCCAAGUUUAAGAGAGUUAACAUCAAGCGAAAGUCUAUCAACGUUCCUAGCCAAAUCAUCAACUUUGAGCAAUUUUUCUUCAAGCAAAGCAUUAAAAUUCUUUUGAGAAAUCAUAAACUCUUUCACACUAUUCUCAAAAUCAGAGGGCAACUAAUUAAAAUUACCAUAAGAAUUAUUGUAGGAAUUUCCAUAAUUAUUAGAGGGAUUACUAGGGAAAGGUCUAGCAUUAAAAUUUCCUCUAUAAGCAUUGUUUCCAAAACUAUUCCUACCAAAAAAAAUUCACAUCCAUAGAUUCAUUAUUAUUCUCAAUCAAGGAAGACAAAGGCAUAUCAUUGGGAUCAAGAGGAGUAUUUUUAGUAGCAAACAUCUUCAUAAGUUCAUCCAUCUUUCCACUCAAAACAUUGAUUUCUUCUAUAGCAUGCACUUUUUUACUAGAAGAUCUUUCGGUGUGCCAUUGGGAAUAAUUAGCCAUAAUAUUAUCAAGCAAUUUUGUAGCAUCUCCUAACGUAAUUUCCAUAAACAUGCCUCCCGCGGCCGAAUCUAAGAGAUUUCUAGAAGCAAAGUUCAAACCGGCAUAAAAAUUUUGUAUGAUCAUCCAUAAAUUUAAACCAUGAGUAGGGCAAUUACGAAGCAUCAAUUUCAUUCUUUCCCAAGAUUGGGAAACAUGCUCAUGAUCAAGUUGUUUAAAAUUCAUAGUAUCGUUCCUAAGAGUGAUGAUCUUAGAGGGAGGAAAAUACUUAGAGAUAAAAGUAUCUUUGCACUCUUUCCAAGAAUCAAUACUAUUUUUAGGCAAAGACGAAAACCAAACUUUAGCACGAUCUCUAAAUGAAAAUGGAAAUAACUUCAAUUUAACAAUAUCAUUAUCCGUAUCUUUCUUCUUUUGCAUAUCACACAAAUUAACAAAAUUGUUUAGAUGAGUAGCGACAUCUUCACUAGGAAGGCCAGCGAAUUGAUCUUUCAUAACAAGAUUCAGCAAAGCGGUAUUGAUUUCACAAGACUCAACAUCAUUAAGAGGAGCAAUUGGACUACUAAGGAAAUCAUUAUUAUUGGUAUUCGAGAAGUCACACAACUUGGUAUUAUCUUGUGCCAUGGCAACAAGUAAUCCAACACACAAGCAAACAGAAAAACGGCAAGCGAAAAAAAGAGAGGAGGAGAUUGGGAAAGAGAGGGCGAAUAAAACGGCAAGGGUGAAGGGGGGGAGAGGAAAACGAGAGGCAAAUGGCAAAUAAUGUAAAUGCGAGGGAGAUGGGUUUGUGAUGGGUACUUGGUAUGUCUUUACUUGAGCGAAGACCUCCCCGGCAAUGGCGCCAGAAAUCCUUCUUGCUACGUCUUGAGCUUGCAUUGGUUUUCCUCAAAGAGGAGAGGGUGAUGCAACAAAGUGUAGCGUAAGUAUUUCCCUCAGUUUUGAGAACCAAGGUAUCAAUCCAGUAGGAGGCUCCUCAAAAGUCCCACGCACCUACACAAAGAAACUAAGAACUCGCAACCAACGCAAUAAAGGGGUUGUCAAUCCCUUCACGGCCACUUGCGAAAGUGAGAUCUAAUAAAGAUAGUAUGAUAAGAUAAAUAUAUUUUUGGUAUUUUAUAAUAUAGAAGAAAAAAGUAAAGAUGCAAAUAAAGUAGAUGAAAAGCAAAUAUGAUAAGAGAUAGACCCGGGGGCCAUAGGUUUCACUAGAGGCUUCUCUCAAGAUAGCAUAAGUAUUACGGUGGGUGAACAAAUUACUGUCAAGCAAUUGAUAGAAAAGCGCAUAGUUAUGAGAUUAUCUAGGCAUGAUCAUGUAUAUAGGCCUCACGUCCAUAACAAGUAGACCGACUCCUGCCUGCAUCUAAUACUAUUACUCCACACAUCGACCGCUAUCCAGCAUGCAUCUAGAGUAUUAAGUUCAUAAGAACGGAGUAACGCAUUAAGCAAGAUGACAUGAUGUAGAGGGAUACACACAUGCAAUAUGAUAUAAACCCCAUCUUGUUAUCCUCGAUGGCAACAAUACAAUACAUGUCUUGCAACCCUUUCUGUCACUGGGUAAGAACACCGCAAGAUUGAACCCAAAGCUAAGCACUUCUCCCAUGGCAAGAAAGACAAAUCCAGUAGGCCAAACCAAACUGAUAAUUCGAAGAGACUUGCAAAGAUAACUCAAUCAUACAUAAAAGAAUUCAGAGAAGAUUCAAAUAUUAUUCAUAGAUAAACUUGAUCAUAAACCCACAAUUCAUCGGAUCUCGACAAACACACCACAAAGAGUUUACAUUGAAUAGAUCUCCACAAGAGAGGGGGAGAACAUUGUAUUGAGAUCCAAAAAGAGAGAAGAAGCCAUCUAGCUAAUAACUAUGGACCCGUAGGUCUGUGGUAAACUACUCACAACUCAUCGGAGGGGCAAGGAUGUUGAUGUAGAAGCCCUUCGUGGUAGAUUCCCCCUCCGGCAGAAUGCCGGCAAAGGCUCCAAGAUGGGAUCUCACGGAUACAGAAGGUUACGGUGGUGGAAAUUGUGUUUCGGGUGCUCCAUGGAUGUUUUUGGGGUAUGUAGGCUUAUAUAGGAGGAAGAAGUACGUCGGUGGACGCCCGAGGGGCCCACGAGACAGGGGGCACGCCCUAAGGGGGGGGGGGGCGCCCUCCUAUCUCGUGGGAGCCUCGGCUGCUUCUUGACUUGCACUCCAAGUCCUCUGGAUCACGUUCGUUCCAAAAAUCACGCUCCCGAAGGUUUCAUUCCGUUUGGACUCCGUUUGUUAUUCCUUUUCUUCGAAAUACUGAAAUAGGCAAAAAAAGAGCAAUACAGGCUGGGCCUCUGGUUAGCAGGUUAGUCCCAAAAAUUAUAUAAAUGUGUAAAAUAAAGCCCAUAAACAUCCAAAAGGGGUAAUAUAAUAGCAUGGAACAAUAAAAAAUUAUAGAUACGUUGGAGACGUACCAAAGUGCUAUCAAGAUCUCUCUCAACCCGGUGCAACAUAGCAAGACAAAGCAUAUUGAGAUACGUCAUCAUUUUAUUCAGGAUCACAUCAAGCGGGGAGAUAUUGAUAUCAUCUACAUCACAACUCAAGAGCAACUAGCGGAUAUUUUCACCAAGCCUCUAGAUGAAGCAAGAUUUCAUGAGUUAAGGCAUGAGCUAAAUAUCAUUGAUUUGAGCAAUGUGGCUUGAAUCUAGGCACUUCCCACCGCACUCAUCAUAUCUUGUUCUAGAUGUAGGCAUGGACAUAGGGUGAGUGUUGUUCUCUCAAUGAACUCUUCCCUCCCCCCAUUAUGCAUAAAUCAAUCAAGUCUUUCACAUUAGCCAUUUUUAUGGUACUUGUGCUUCAAAGGCGAGUUUUGGUCAUGGGCCCAAGGUUAAAAUCUUUGGGUACCAUUUGACUCAAACAUAGGUGGCCUAGGCCACCGCCCUCUCCUUGGGAGGUGUUUUUUUUCUUUUUCUCUAGUUGUUUUGUGUUUUAGGUGUGCCAUGUUUCUUGUCUCUCCUUGGGUGCCUCUCUGGCUCUUUGUUGUGUUUUGCUCCUUGAGUUGCACCCUCGUCUUGUCUUGUGUUUCUUUUUCUUGGAGCUAGGCCUAUUUUGUUUGCUGUCUUGUUAAGUUCUUGCUGGGCGGUACUACCACUCUGAAUGGACGGUACUACUGCUUAAUGGCACCAAGCGGUACUACCGCCCGCCAGAGCGGUACUACCGCUGCGAGGUAGGCCUAGGGGGUUAUGUUUCGGGCAGGGGGAGUUUCUCUCCCGCAUACCCAUUCGACUCGCCCCACUCGUUCCUCUCCUGCUCCAGCAAAGAACUCACCGCGGGAGGCUGUCUCCUGGACAUCCUUCUCCUUUCCCUAUAGUGGAAUCGAUCCCCACCCCUUCCUCUUGCCAUGGAUGCUGGUAUUGCCCCCGCUCUUCUUCUCUUUGUUUCUAGGUUUCGAAUCUAGGCUUUAUGGGCAAUAGUCUUUGCAUUUAUCGAUUUUUGGCCAAAUCGAGGCUUGAGUAGGUUGUUGAAGGAUGCUAGACUAGUUGGAUUGAUAUUUGGUAGGGGUAUUUUAGAGUUUGGCACCCCCGAUAGUACCAGAUUUGGCCGCGGAUGUAGUCAAACCGCAGUCCUCCGCCUCGAGCGGUACUACCGCUCCUCAGGAGCGGUACUAUCGCUUGAAGGUAGUAGGCGCUAUUCAUACCAAAUGUCGAUUUGUGUUGCUUUUUCUGUUGGCUUAUGCCCAUUUUCUCAUUUUUCUCGUGUUCUUGUGUUGGUUCCAGGUGAUGGCCCUUAGGAGCACCCUGUCCGUCGUGUCAACCCCGGGCGUUCUGUUUCAAAAUGCUAUCGCACUUCUGAGGCAGCGACUGCUUACUCAAGUGUUCCUCCACCGCAGCCCAAGAAGCAAAUUUUGAGCAAGCCCAAGCCGAGGACCAAGUAUGUGAUUGAGAUGACUGCCAAGGAGUUCUGGGAGAGGCGUCGGCGUAACCCAUCUGAGCAAGAUCAAGACCCACUCUUGUCAACCGCCCAUUAUGGAACCGAUUUCAGUGGGUUGUCUUCUUUGAUGUGCUCAAGGCAAAUAAUAAUCUCUAUGUUUGUAUCCACUCCAUCAACAUUGCCCAUUUGGAGAAAGAUCCUGCCUACUUUGGCAAAGCACUGCAGAUGUGUACUCAGUUGAAUAUUCUGAAGAUCAUGGAGUUCAACAAGGACUUUGAUGCAGAUUUGGUGGCUCAGUUUUAUGCCUCGGUCCAUCUUGGCACUGAUGUGGAAAGAACCUUGACUUGGAUGACAAAUGGCAAACUUCUCUCCAUCAAAUGGAAGGCGUUCAUGGAAUUGUUUGGGAUUGAAGAUCAAGAGCUUGAGAACCCGGUUGGCUUUCAUGCUCACCGGAAUGCAACUUCUAAUCACAAGCAAUCUCUCUGGCCUUACUGCACAUUGAAGAUUAACCCUGAGAUGCAGAAGGAGACUUACGAGCUGCCUCCUUUUCUGGACAUCAUUCAUCGCAUAUUCAGGGAGACUCUUUUCCCUCACAUUGGGAACUUGGAUAUGGCUCAUUCGUUCCUUGUGGACAUGCUACUUUUUUGCCAACAUGAGAAGGAAGAAAACACUAGAGAUUCCUUGGAUAUUUCUCAUGCCAUGUGGUCUGAGCUCGUCUCCGCCAUCUCUGAGCGCAAGUGCCCCAUCUAUGCUCCUUUUGUCAUGUUUCUUAUUUAGAAGGCAUGGGGGCACACUUAUCCUUGUGUAGUGUUGGGGACUGGUGAGUGUCUCUCACGAGGUUAAGCAUUUGAGAAAGAAGGAGCUCUGAGGCACUCCUAUUCCGAAGUCUGGGAUUCCGUCAGGUGCUGACGAGGUUGAGGCAGAGGCUGAUGCUAAUGACUAUGUGCCCUCUAGAGCAGAGCCCUCAUUGGCCAAGAAGCUCAAGCACAAGAUGAAGAAACUUUUCUGCAUGGAGUCUCAUAGGCAGUAUAUGGUUCAUGUGUUUGAGAAGAAGACCAUGAGCCGUCACAAGGAUCUCAUGCGUCGGUUUGCGGCUACAGUUAACAGUGGAUCUGAGGGCAAGAUCACCGAUGAGGAGGAGUGGAUUCAUUAGCACUGCCUUGGACAGACUCAGACACUAAGCAGACCUCUGCCGAUGACGGAGGCACGAGCGACCACGCGGGGUUGUGAUGAUGGAGAUCUUCAUCUUUGCUAUCACCUGUGACCGUAGCAGCACUCUUUGCCCUUUUGGUGUCUCGAUGCCAAAGGGGGAGAGAGUUUAGGGAUUUGUCGAGUUGCGAGUGUGUCUUAUUUGCCUUGUCUUUCUCUCUCGCAAACUCUUUUGUCGUCAUUUGCUUUGGUUUGGUUUGUGCUUGUGAGACCUGGUUACCCUAUCAUAUGGUGUGAGACAUAUGCUACCCUAUCUUAUUAUUAUCUAUGUAUGUCGAGUACUUUGGUAGUAUGUGAGUUGCAUGCUUAUCUGUUGUUUCUCUUUGCUCACUUACUACUCCCUUGCAUCCUAGGUUAUAUCUCUUUGUGUAUAGAUGCAUGUGUUGUCGGGCUAUAAAAUAUAGGGGGAGUGUUGAUCCUAAUGUGUGUACUUUGCAUUCCAAAGGCACUUCUGAGUAAGUGCACACAUCUAGGGGGAGCCCGUCUAUAUUUUGUAGUCUCUUGGGAGUCGCUUAUUCUCUUGUCAUUUCGUUAUGCAAAUCUCAUGUUGUCAUCAAUCCCCCAAAAAGGGGGAGAUUGUUAGGCAUGUCUCUCUCUAAGUGGUUUUGGUGAUUGAUGAAAAUGCAUUUGUAGACUAAUUGUGUACAUUGAGUAUUUCAGAGAUUCAUUCAUUGGCACGAGAUGAUUCAUUCCCCUCGGAGCUCAAAGUGAAGAUGGUGUAGUCACUUUCGGUUUGGCUUUGGUGGACUUGAGUCGUAGGAGACACCGUACUAUCAACAUGGGGGCCCGCAUCGGAAAGGCUAGGGUGGAAUCAACAUGUACACUUCAUUUUUGCACCCCCAGCUCCUUUCCUCUUCUUGGAGUUUACCAUUAUCUCGGAAGUGGGGCUUGUGAGGAGCCAGCGGUAGUACUGGUGAACUAGGGUAGUAGUACCGCUUAUGGCCCUCAAGCGGUAGUACCACUGUUUCAUAGCGGCAGUACUGCUCAUGCCCAUAAGCGGUAGCACUGCUCCUAUUUUACGCUGGUACCGCCUUGAUUCGAGGGUGUCUCCUCUGAUGUCGGGUUGGGAGUAGGAGCGGCAGCAGGCACGGUUGAAAGGAUCGAUAUGGUUGACUAGAGGGGGGGUGAAUAGGCAACUAACAUUUUUUAAGCUUUUCUUUAACAAUUUAAACCUUGCAACAAAAUAGGUUGUCUAGAUAUGCAACUACGUGGACAACCUAUAUGAUGCAAUGACAACUAGUACACAAGCAAGCAAUAGAUACAACACAAGUAAGCUUGCAAAAGUAAAGGCACGAAAUAACCAAGAGUGGAGCCGGUGAAGACGAGGAUGUGUUACCGAAGUUCCUUUCUUUUAAAGGGAAGUAUGUCUCCGUUAGAGCGGUGUGGAGGCACAAUGCUCACCAAGAAGCCACUAGGGCCACCGUAAUCUCCUCACGCCCUCACACAAUGCGAGAUGCUGUGAUUCCACUAUUGGUGCCCUUGAAGGCGGCGACCGAACCUUUACGAACAAGGUUGGGGCAAUCUCCACAACAAUUGGAGGCUCCCAACAACACCAUGAAGCUUCACCACAAUGGAGUAUGGCUUCGAGGUGACCUCAACCGUCUAGGGUGCUCAAACACCCAAGAGUAACAAGAUCCACUAGGGAUAAGUGGGGGGGAUCAAAUCUCUCUUGGUGGAAGUGUAGAUCGGAGCCUUCUCACCCAAUCCCGAGCAAAUCAACAAGUUUGAUUGGCUAGGGAGAGAGAUCGGGCGAAAAUGGAGCUUGGAGCAACAAUGGAGCUUAGAGAUGGAAGAGGUGGUCAACUAGAGGUAGGAGACACCCCUUAUAUAGUCAUGGAAAAGAUCCAACCGUUAUCCACAUAUUCAGCCUGUGACACGCGGUACUACCGCUCCAGGGGCGCUACCGCAAGGCCCCGCGGUACUACCCUGGAGGACCACGGUACUUCCGUGGCAGCAGCAGAGGCCGGGACUUGCCUGACUUAGGUGCAGUACUACCGCUUGCGCGGUACUACCGCUCCCCCUUGCGGUACUACCGCAAGGGAGGAAAGUCACUGCCUACAAAGAGCGCGGAUGAAAUAAAUUACAUCCGUGCCUACUUCCGCUGAAAAUGAGAUGGUGCAAAAAUCCGAUGCGGUACUACCGCGCACGAGGCGCGGUACUACCGUGGAGGCGCGGAUGUAAAAAAUUACAUCCGCUCCUACUACUGUGACGCCGCGGUACUAGGUAGGAGGGCCACGGUACUACGACUCCGGGGGAGCGGUACUACCGUGGGCUCCCGCGGUACUACCGCGCUGGACGAGCGGUACUACCGUGGGGGCGCGGAUGUAAAAAAUUACAUCCGCCCCUACUACCGUACUGGAGCGGCACUAGGCCUGGGAGCCAUGGUACUAAGGCUCCAGAGGAGCGGUACUACUGUGACCCACAUCGGUACUACCACGGGUGCUUGCGGUACUACCGCUCCAUAGAGCAGUACUACCGCAAGUACAGCAGUAGCCGUCUGAUUAUGCACAACUAGGAUAACGGAAAGAUGCUCCAAAGUGCAAGGAAAGGUAGGAUGUGUGUACAUGUUGAUUCCACCCAAACCUUUUCGACGCGGACCCCCUCUUAAUAGUACGGCUCUCCUACGACUCAAAUCCACCAAAGAGAGACGUAGAACAACGCCGUCUUCAAUAGUCUCCGAGGGGCACCAAAUCGUCUCGUGCCUAGUGAUGAAGUAUCUGAGAAACUCAAGGCACACGAUUAGUCUGCAAAAGCAUUGUCAUCAAUCACCAAAACACUUAAGGGAUAAAAAUGCCCUUACAAUCUCCCCCUUUUUGGUGGAUUGAUGACAAUACGGGAUUUGCACAUAGAUGAGAUAAUAUUGAGCAAAGGCAAAUCCCUCCUCUCUAAAAUAUAGACGGCCCCCCCUAGAUGUGUGCAAUCUAGAUGAAUGCUUUGGACUGCAUAGCACACAAACUAGGAUCAACACUCCCCCUAUAUUUUAGAGACCAAGGCAUGAUAAUUAACAUCUAAGUAGAGCAUAGCAUAAAGGUAGCACAAUAUAUCACAAGCUCGCUAGGAUAGAUAGAGUGCAUAAGUCUUACACCAUAAGAAGUAAAGUAACCCAAAGCAACUGAAACGAGGUUCAAAACGAGAAAGCAAGCAAACACAUUGAACACGAAUGACGAAACGAUGACGCAAAUCCCUACACUCUCUCCCCCUUUGGCAUCGAGAUGCCAAAAAGGCAAAGAGGACACCUACACACAAGGGGCGGCUCAAGCAGGGAACUCAUCCCAAGCCUCCUCCUCAGACUCCUCGGCGACAGGGAUGGUCUCCUUGACAUCCUCCUCAGAAUCAGUCCAUUUGUAUCCUUGCUUCUCCAUCCACUCGUCCUCUGGGGUGAUGCGAUCCUCAGAACCACCAGACACGUCCUCGCCAUACAGCUUCAAGAUCUUCUUGUCCCGGCGGCGACUCUCCUUAGAUGCCACGUGAGUCCUGUACUGCCCCUUGGCUUGCAUGCAGAAAAGAGUCUUCAUCUUGUCCUUCAGCUUCUUGGCCCAUGAAGGCAUAGAGGAGCUCUGGGACGACCUAGCAGCACGGUCCUCAGCAACAUCCUCGGCGCCAGCAUCCUCCUCAUCAACAGCAGCCCAAGCAGCAGACGCCUCAGCACGAGUGGUAGUGUUGGCCCAUUGGGGCUUGACACGCAGACAGAUGGGAUCAUGGCGAAUCCAGUCUGGGGCAAGGAACUCCUCACCAAGGAACAUCUUCUCCCACGUCUUCGAGAUCAGCAGAAACAGAUAGGGCUCAUAGAUAGGCACCUUGCGGUUGAACACGGCAAACCGAAGCUCACACCACAUGAUGUGUGAGACAUCAAGUGGCUGAGUCUGAGACAACCGAGCCUCCUCGCAAAUGAGCAUCAUAUCCACCAUAUAAGCAUGAACCUUGUCCUUGUCACCAAUGCGAGGAAACAAGGAGUUGCGGAAGAUGCGAUACAUGAUAUCCAGAAAAGAGUUAAGCACCAACCCCGUCUUGCCAUUGGCGAGUGCCUUCUCAACAUAGUAUGGUGCAAGCUUGUCGUUGUUGGCAGAUUCAGAGUUGGCAUGGGGGCGAACACCCACGGGAGUGUCGAGCCCGUCAUCAGGAACCUGGAGCAAAUCCAUGAACUCCUUCCAGGUAGCAGUCAGCUGACGGCCAUUGGUCAUCCAGGUCAUCCUCCGCUCCUCAUUAGAGUGAAAGUAUACUGAGGCAAAUAACUGACAGAUAAGCUCAGGGUCAUAGACAAGGUGAAAGGAUAUCACAUGCUCAAUGCCAAACUGCUCCACCAAGUCCAGAGCCUCUCCAAAGUAUGCACGAAACUUGUCCUUCCUCAUGUGAUGCAUUUCAAUCCAUUUCACAUCCACGUAGGUAUUCUGCUUGUUCUUGAUGACAUCCAGAUAAAUGAGAGUCUGUUGCUUGUUCCAAAACAGCUCACAACCUUUGACAGUGGCACGAGGGUGCACAUACGGGUGGAGUUGCCUGAUACAGACGUACUCAGAUUGGGGUAUCUCAUCCAUGCCCUUAGCGGGUUCCUUGUGCUUGCUAGCUGAUGUCUUGACAUUGCGCUUGGGGGCAGAAGAGCCCUCCGGUGCUUCACCUGGAUUGCGCAGACGCUUGGAGCACGUGUCACGACUGGGAUUGGAAUGGCGAGAGCCAUGACCCGAGACACAAACGCAAACACCAACGAAACGCAAUGAGGAUCAAUGCAAAGACCAUGGCAAAGCACAAGAAACACAUAGAAAGUACACAUGAAAAGUUGCCAUGAGAUAGAUGUGAAGUACGGUAGUACUGCCAGAACCUGCGGUACUAAAAUAUUAGUACCGCUCCAGGGCGCGGUAGUAUCGUGCGAGGCACGGUAGUAUCGUGAUUGGAGCCAUAGUAAAGUUUUAGUGCCGCAGUGAGUGUGGUAGUACCGCACCAGAGGGCGGUAGUACCGGAAGAGCGGUAGUACCGCGCCAGAUGGGCGGUAGUACCGCACUGCGUCAGAUCCAAACGACGGUUUGAAUCUAAAAAGAACCGCGAAACGCCGGCAGUGCUACGGUGAUCAAAUCUAGCAUAGGACAAAGUACAAGUAUAAUUCCUACGCACUACUACGCUCCUUCAUCCUACUCUUGCAACUAUUAAGCCGAGGAAUCUCAAGAACACACAAGUCUCCCCCAAAACCUAGAGACAACAAAUACAACAACAAGGAGAGGGAGUUGGGGAAAGACCUUGGUCCAUAGCAAGAGCACGUGGUAGGGAACGAUCCCACCGGUCGGAAUCACGGGAGGGCAGCCAGAGACGGAGAUCCGGCGACGAACGCCGGCUCCGUUCUUGAGCGAGGGAGAGAGAGAGACGAGAUUGGGAAUGGGCGAAUGGGUAUGGGGGAGUUAGAACUCCCCUGCCCGACCUUAUCCCCACGCGCCCGACCUGUCGCGGUAGUACCGCUGGUCAUUGUGGUAGUACCGCUUGGGCGGAAGUACCGCACCGAAGCGGUAGUACCGCUUUCCCAGGCGGCAGUAAAAAAUUACUGCCGCGUGGGGGCGGUAGUACCGUGCUCCCCUCAUGCGGUAGUACCAUAGCAUGCUGCAGUAGUACCGUGAGCUCAAGAAAAUGCAUGUUUCGUCACACGAAAAAAAGGUCUUUGCAAAGAACCUUUUAGCACAAAAGACACCACAUGAACACGAACAAAACAAAGGCAGAAAGGCAACAAGAAACAACCGCGCAACCCAACCUCUCAAAAGGAGAGGGCGGUGGCCGGAGCCACCUAUGUUUGAGUUAGUUGGUAUGGCACCGCGAAGAAUUAUCCUUGGGCCCAUGACCAAAACUCGUCUUUGAAGCACAAGUACCAUCAAAAAUGGCUAAUGUGAAAGAGUUGAUCUAUUUAUGCAUAAUGGGGGAGGGAAAGUUCAUUGAGAGAGCAACACUCCCCCUAUUUCCAUGCCUACACCUAAACUAGACAACAAGUUGAGUGUGGUGGUNNNNNNNNNNNNNNNNNNNNNNNNNNNNNNNNNNNNNNNNNNNNNNNNNNNNNNNNNNNNNNNNNNNNNNNGGGGGGGGGGUGCACGGGUUCAAGUCACAUUGCUCGAAUCAAUGAUAUUUAGCUCAUGCCUUAACUCGCGAAAUCUUGCUUCAUCCAAGGGCUUCGUGAAAAUAUCUGCAAGGUUAUCAUGAGUGUUGACAUACUUGAGCUCGAUCUCCCCUCGCCUAAUGUGAUUCCGGAUGAAAUGAUACCGAAUCUCAAUAUGCUUCGUCUUGAAGUGUUGCACCGGGUUGAGAGAAAUCUUGAUGGCACUUUCAUUGUCACACCAAAGAGGCACUUUGUCACAAAUGACACCGUAUUCCUUUAAAGUUUGCCUCAUCCAUAAUAGUUGUGCACAACAACUACCGGCCGCCACAUAUUCCGCUUCGGUGGAUGAGAGAGACACACAACUUUGCUUCUUGGAAGACCAACUCACCAAAGAGCACCCAAGAAAUUGGCACCCUUCGGAAGUGGACUUCCUAUCCACUUUGUCUCCCGCCCAAUCAGAAUCCGUAAAACCUUUAAGCUUGAAGUUUGCCCCUCUUGGGUACCAUAAGCCAAAGUUUGGGGUAUGAGCCAAAUAUCAAAAGAUUCGCUUGACCGCCACAUAGUGACUUUCCUUCGGUGCGGCUUGAAACCGUGCACACAUUCCCACACUCAACAUGAUAUCCGGUCUAGAUGCACAAAGGUAAAGCAAGGAGCCAAUCAUGGAGCGAUAUACCUUUUGAUCCACCGCUUUACCAUUGGGAUCAAUGUCAAGUUGGCAUUUGGUGGGCAUUGGUGUAGAAGCCGGCUUGACAUCACUUAGCUUGAAUCUCUUUAGCAUGUCUUGAGUGUAUUUGGCUUGGUUGAUGAAGGUUCCUUCUCUUAUUUGUUUGAUAUCAAAACCAAGGAAGAACUUCAACUCUCCCAUCGAAGACAUCUUGAAUUUGGAGGUCAUGAGAGCGGCAAAUUCCUCAUUGAAAGCUUUGUUAGGGGAACUAAAGAUAAUAUCAUCAACAUAUAGUUGGCAUACAAACAACUCCCCUUUGACCUUCUUAGUAAAAAGAGUGGGAUCGAUUUGUCCUACUUCAAAUCCACGAUCUUGUGACAACUCGGUAAGGUGGUCAUACCACGCACGUGGGGCUUGUUUAAGGCCAUAGAGUGCCUUAUCGAGUUGAUACACAUGAUCCCGGAAGUAGGGGUCCUCGAACCCGGGGGGUUGCUUGACAUAGACCAACUCAUUAAUGGGACCGUUAAUAAAAGCACUUUUCACAUCCAUUUGUUGCAACUUAAAGUUGUGAUGGGAAGCAUAAGCAAUCAACAAACGAAUGGAUUCAAGACGAGCAACAGGAGCAAAGGUUUCACCGUAGUCAAUACCCUCGACUUGGGAGUAGCCCUGUGCUGCCAAUCUUGCCUUGUUGCGAAUGAUGUUCCCAUGAGCAUCUUGCUUGUUCUUGAAGAUCCACUUGGUUCCAAUGACUUUGUGGUUCCCCGAUUUCCUUGGCACCAAUCUCCACACCUUGUUGUACUCGAAGUUGUUGAGUUCUUCAUGCAUGGCAUUGAGCCAAUCCGAGUCUUCGAGCGCCUCAUAGACCUUUUGGGGUUCAACACAAGAGACAAACACGUGAUGUUCACAAUAGUUUGCUAAUCAUCUGCGAGUGCUAACCCCCUUUCUUAGGCUUCCAACCACAUUCUCCAUGAGAUGGCCUUUGGUGGUGAGUUUGGAAGCAAUCUUCGCGGCACGACGCUCUAAUUCCUCCUCGGAUGUGGAAGGAGGAGGGUUAACUUGAUAAUCUUGAGCGCCGUCUUGAACUUGUUCUUGAUCUUGAGCUUUCUCAUGAUCUUGAACUUGCUCGGGGGGAAGAACUUGACCUUGGGCAUCAUUUAGAGGUUCACCACCAUCUUGAGGUUGAUCUUGCCCUUGGUCUUGUUCAUGAGGUUGAGGGCCUUCACUUUGUUCUUCGGAAGCGUGCGGGCCUUGUGGAGGUGAUGGCUCCACUUGAGAGGAGCAUUGUCCUUCUCCUUCGGCCACAAGGGGUUCCUCAACGGGUAGAAUAUGACCAAUACCCAUUCUUAUUAUGGCUUGGGGAGGAAUUUCAUCACCUACAUCACAAGUACCACUUUGCUCCACUUGGGAGCCGUUAUUUUCAUCAAACUCCACGUUACACUCUCCUCAAUGAGUCCGGUGGACUUGUUGAGAACACGGUAAGCAUGAGAGUUUGUAGCAUAACCAAGAAAUAUGCCCUCAUGAGCUCUAGCCUCGAAUUUAGACAAAUGAACACCUUUCUUAAGAAUGAAACACUUACAACCGAACACCCGGAAGUACUUGAGGUUGGGCUUGUUGCCGGUGAGUAUCUCAUAAGGAGUCUUGUUCAAGCCUUUGCAGAGAUAGAGCCGAUUGGAUGCAUGACAUGCGGUGUUGAUGGCUUCGGCCCAAAAGUUGUAUGGAGACUUGAACUCCGCCAUCAUGGUCCUUGCCGCAUCCAUCAACAUCCGGUUCUUCCUGUCUGCUACACCAUUUUGUUGAGGGGUAUAUGGUGCAGCAUAUUGAUGCUUGAUCCCCUCAUCACUAAGAAACUCAUCCAAGGUGUAGUUCUUGAACUCGGUGCCGUUGUCACUUCUUAUUGUCAAGAUCUUUGCAUUAUGUUGACGUUGAGCUUCAUUUGCAAAGUCGAUGAUGGUUUGUUGAGUCUCACUCUUCCUCUUGAAGAAGUAUACCCAAGUGUAUCUUGAAUAGUCAUCCACAAUCACCAAGCAAUACUUUCUACCUCCAAGACUAUCAAAAGAUGGAGACCCAAAGAGAUCCAUGUGAAGGAGCUCCAAGGGUCUCUUCGUGUAGAUGAUAGUAGUGGGAGGGUGAGCCGUCUAAUAUAGCUUUCCUUCGAUACAAGCACUGCAAGAACGUUCUUUGGCAAAACUAACAUUCGUUAGUCCACGGACAUGGUCCCCCUUGAGAAGACUUUGCAAAGAUCUCAUAUUGACGUGGGCUAAACGGCGAUGCCAAAGCCAUCCCACGUCAACUUUAGCCAUUAGGCAUGUCGCGGUCUUAGUGGGUCGCUCUGAAAAGUUAACCACAUAUAGACCGUUCUCGACAUGCCCAACAAUGGCUACUUUAAGAGUCUUGCUCCACAAGAGGGACACGGUAUCAAUGUCAAAGAAAGUAGCAAAACCCAUGAGUGCAAGUUGACGAACGGAAAGCAAAUUGUAUGCAAGGGACUCAACAAGCAUGACUUUCUCGAUCGUUAGAGCAUGAGAAAUGACAACCUUGCCGAGACCCAAUACCUUAGAAUGUGAUGCAUCACCCCACUCGACAUUGGUGGGCAUAUAUGGAAUCUUUUGCACGUCCACCACCAAGUCCUUGCUCCCGGUCAUAUGAUUUGUUGCUCCACUAUCGAGCAACCAUGAUCCCCCACCGGAAGCAAACACCUACAAGAGUUCAAUGCUUGGUUUUAGGUACCCAUUUAGUAAUGGGUCCUUUGAUGUUAGUAACAGGGGUCUCGGGAACCCAAAUAGACCACUCAAUGUACUCAUAAGGAGAACCAACAAAUUUAGCAUAAACAUGUCCAUCACUAGCACGGCACAACACAUAUGACGGGUUAAAGUCGCCAGCUUUGUUGGAGGAAAUGCUUUUGCCCUUUUGGACGUCAACUCCCUUCACUUUUUCCUUCUUCUCCUUAGGAGCACCCUCUCCCUCUUUCACAAAAGUUUGCUUGAGAGGAGGAGGACGUUUGGUCUUGUCGUUGUUCUUCUUCUUGCUCUUGGACUUGGGUGCAAACCCAAUUCCUUCCUUGGCCACAACUUCCUUUUGAUUGCUCAAAAGGUCGUUGAGGUUCUUCUCACCUUGAAUGCAUGUCACAAGGCCUUUCUCAAGUUGAUCCUUCAACUUGGCAUUCUCCUCCACAAGAUGCACAUGCUCACAACACGGGUUAGUAGCACAUGCAUUAUCAAUUAAUACCAUAUGAGGAAAGGUGGCCUUUUCCUUGGUUAGCUUAACUUGGAGUUGAGCAUGAGACUCCUUGAGGUUAGCGUGAACACCCUUCAAGACCUUGUGGGCCUUGUCAAGUAUCUCAAACUCCUCUUUGAGUCUAACAUGAUCAACCCCAAGUUUAGCCUUCUCAGAAGUUAGCACACGAGACACGACAAGAGCAUGAUCAAGAUCUUUCUUUAACUUAGCAUGGUCAUCAUUGUGUGACUCCUCAAAAGUCAAACGAUGCACACGCUCUUCCUCAAGAGCAUUAGAGAGAUCCGAUAUCUCAUCGGCAUAGUCGCGACUAUGACCUUUCAUCUUAGAGAUGGUUUCUUCGUGAGCCUCGAUCAUGUCAUUGGCCUCACCAAGUUGUUCCAAGAGAGAAACAAAAUGCUUCUUGGACUUGCCCUUGAGCUUACUCAUAAAAGACUCAAACUCAUUCACUUCUUCAUUAGACCCAUCAUGUUCAUCAAUGCAAACCUCCAUGGAGGGAUUAGUAAUGAUGGUGGUUUCAAUGUUGGGGGUUACCUUGUUUGAAGCUUUAGCCAUGAGGCACUUGGCGGUGAUGUUCUCGUUGGGUGAAUCAAAGAGAGACACCCGGGGAGUAGUAGCAAUGGCAACAGAUGCCAUGGCCAUCGCUUCUUCAUUUUCAUCAUCAUCAUCAUCCUCUUGGUAUUCUUCUUGAACCACCAACCCACGAGUGGGAGUCUUCUUGGCGAAGUUGUUCUUGUUGGGGAAGGACUUGGCUUUGUCUUUUCGGAUGAACUUGCCACCAUUGUCUUCCCGCUUCUCGUAAGGACAAUCCGCAACGAAAUGGCUCACAUUGCCAUAGUUGAAGCAAGUUCUAACUCGUUGAUUUCCCUUGACGCUACUUGAGUUGUUCUUGUUGAAGUUGGGUCUUGAAUUCUUCUUGCUCCAAAAUUGUCUGGAAGCAAGAGCCAUGUGCUCAUGAUAAUCAUAUUUCAUGUCUUCGGGGUUGCUCUCCUCAUCUUCCUCUUCUUCCUCUUCUUCCACACUAACCUUGGCCUUCAAGGCAAGGUUGGGCUUCUUUGCCCUUUGAGAACGGAGCACCGCAUUGUAGGCGGUCUCAUCCAAGAUGCUCAUUGCAACAAACUCAUCCAACAUUUCACUUGAGGUCAUGGAGUGGAAGUCCGGUCUUUGACGAAUGAUGGAGGACAUGGCCUUGUUGUAGGGCAUCAUGGCCUUGAGGAACUUGCGCUUGAUCCAAUUGUCAUCCGUGUCCUUGCUUCCAUGAUCUCGGAGUGAGACCGCGAGUUUGGUCACUCUUCGAAAGAGCUCACGAGGUUCUUCAUCUUCUUUCAUUGCAAACUCAUCGGCUUCAUCUUGCACCACUUCAUAGUUGGAGCGUUGAAUGCUAGCACUUCCUCGAUAGAGACACUCAACAAAUUUCCAUGCUUCUUUAGCCAUGGCAUGAGGUCGAAGAUGAGGGAGAUCUUCGGGAAGGAUUGCAUCUUGGAUGAUGAAGAGAGCACUCUCAUUGAAUUGAUUGUCCACGGCUUCUCAAGGGGUGAAGUUGGUUGGGUCAUGAGGAUAGAAACCUUCUUCAAUGAUUCUCCAAAGGUUAGCGUUCACAUGUUUUAAAUGACGCUUGAAGCGAUAAACCCAAGAAUCAAAAUCUUCAUGUUUCUCAUAUUUAGGAGGAGGACCGGCAUGAUUCAAAUGAGUGGAGGGGAUCGGCCCUCCAUAAAUUGGGGGUUCCACAUGGGCAAAGAUACCGGUGCCAUUUCUACCACUAGUAGAAGGACUCUUUUCACUGUUAGCUUCCCCCUUGUCGGAGGUAACAUCUGUCACCUCAGUAAACAUGCUUUUAACCUCGGCCGUCAUGGAGGUUUUCAAUGUGUCUAAAGCCACAUUGAAUUCCUCACAUGAGACCGAGGUUCCCCCUUCGGCCGAAGACGAGAUGGGAUUCACACUGGAGUGCUCCUUCGCACCGUCGUUGGUGUCAACCAUACUCUUCGGACGGCAAAGUCCUUAAUAAAGAGAAGAGGCUCUGAUACCAAUUGAAAUGAUCGAUAUGGUUGACUAGAGGGGGGGUGAAUAGGUAACUAACAAUUUUUUUAAGCUUUUCUUUAACAAUUUAAACCUUGCAACAAAAUAGGUUGUCUAGAUAUGCAACUACGUGGACAACCUAUAUGAUGCAAUGACAACUAGUACACAAGCAAGCAAUAGAUACAACACAAGUAAGCUUGCAAAAGUAAAGGCACGAAAUAACCAAGAGUGGAUCCGGUAAAGACAAGGAUUGUUACCGAAGUUCCUUCCUUUUAAAGGGAAGUACGUCUCCGUUAGAGCGGUGUGGAGGCACAAUGCUCCCCAAGAAGCCACUAGGGCCACCGUAAUCUCCUCACGCCCUCACACAAUGCGAGAUGCCCUGAUUCCACUAUUGGUGCCCUUGAAGGCGUAGACCGAACCUUUACAAACAAGGUUGGGGCAAUCUCCACAACAAUUGGAGGCUCCCAACAACACCACAAAGCUUCACCACAAUGGAGUAUGGCUUUGAGGUGACCUCAACCGUCUAGGGUGCUCAAACACCCAAGAGUAACAAGAUCCGCUAGGGAUAAGUGGGGGGAAUCAAAUCUCUCUUGGUGGAAGUGUAGAUCGGAGCCUUGUCACCCAAUCCCGAGCAAAUCAACAAGUUUGAUUGGCUAGGGAGAGAGAUCGGGCGAAAAUGGAGCUUGGAGCAACAAUCGAGCUUAGAGAUGGAAGAGGUGGUCAACUAGAGGUAGGAGACACCCCUUAUAUAGUCAUGGAAAAGAUCCAACCGUUAUCCACAUGUUCAGCCUGCAACAUGCGGUACUACAGCUCCAGGGGCGCGGUACUACCGCAAGGCCCCGCGGUACUACCGUGGAGGACCACGGUACUUCCGCGGCAGCAGCAGAGGCUGGGACUUGCCUAACUUAGGUGCAGUACUACCGCUUGCGCGGUACUACCGCUCCCCCUUGCGGUACUACUGCAAGGCAGGAAAUUCACUGCCUCCGAAGAGCGCGGAUGAAAUAAAUUACAUCCGUGCCUACUUUUGCUGAAAAUGAGAUGGUGCAAAAAUCCGACGCGGUACUACCGUGCACGAGGCGCGGUACUACCGUGAAGGCGCGGAUGUAAAAAAUUACAUCCGCUCCUACUACUGUGACGCCGCGGUACUAGGUAGGAGGGCCAUGGUACUAUGACUCCGGGGGAGCGGUACUGCCGUGGGCUCCCGCGGUACUACUGCGCUGGACGAGCGGUACUACCGUGGGGGCCCGGAUGUAAAAAAAUUACAUCCGCCCCUACUACCGUACCGGAGCGGCACUAGACCUGGGAGCCACGGUACUACCAUGACCCACAACGGUACUACCGCGGGUGCUUGCGGUACUACCGCUCCAUAGAGCAGUACUACCGCAAGUACAGCAGUAGCCGUCUUAUUAUGCACAACUAGGAUAACGGAAAGACGCUCCAAAGUGCAAGGAAAGGUAGGAUAUGUGUACGUGUUGAUUCCACCCAAACCUUUCCGACGCGGACCCCCUCUUAAUAGUACGGCUCUCCUAUGACUCAAAUCCACCAAAGAGAGACGUAGAACAACACCGUCUUCAAUAGUCUCCGAGGGGCACCAAAUCGUCUCGUGCCUAGUGAUGAAGUAUCUGAGAAACUCAAGGCACACGAUUAGUCUGCAAAAGCAUUGUCAUCAAUCACCAAAACACUUAAGGGAUAAAAAUUCCCUUACAAUCUCCCCCUUUUUGGUGGAUUGAUGAGAAUACGGGAUUUGCACAUAGAUGAGAUAAUAUUGAGCAAAGGCAAACCCCUCCUCUCUAAAAUAUAGAUGGGCUCCCCCUAGAUGUGUACAAUCUAGAUGAAUGCUUUGGACUGCAUAGCACACAAACUAGGAUCAAUACUCCCCCUAUAUUUUAGAGACCAAGGCAUGAUAAUUAACAUCUAAGUAGAGCAUAGCAUAAAGGUAGCACAAUAUAUCACAAGCUCGCUAGGAUAGAUAGAGUGCAUAAGUCUUACACCAUAAGAAGUAAAGUAACCCAAAGCAACUGAAACGAGGUUCAAAACGAGAAAGCAAGCAAACACAUCAAACACGAACGACGAAACGAUGACGCAAAUCCCUACACUCUCUCCCCCUUUGGCAUCGAGAUGCCAAAAAGGCAAAGAGGACACCUACACACAAGGGGUGGCUCAAGCAGGGAACUCAUCCCAAGCCUCCUCCUCAGACUCCUCGGCGACAGGGAUGGUCUCCUUGACGUCCUCCUCAGAAUCAGUCCAUUUGUAUCCUUGCUUCUCCAUCCACUCAUCCUCUGGGGUGAUGCGAUCCUCAGAACCACCAGACACGUCCUCGCCAUACAGCUUCAAGAUCUUCUUGUCCCGGCAGCGACUCUCCUUAGAUGCCACGUGAGUCCUGUACCGCCCCUUGGCUUGCAUGCAUAAAAGAGUCUUCAUCUUGUCCUUCAGCUUCUUGGCCCACGAAGGCAUAGAGGAGCUCUGGGACGACCUAGCAGCACGGUCCUCAGCAACAUCCUCGGCGCCAGCAUCCUCCUCAUCAACAACAGCCCUAGCAGCAGACGCCUCAGCACGAGUGGUAGUGUUGGACCAUUGGGGCUUGACACGCAGACAGAUGGGAUCAUGGCGAAUCCAGUCUGGGGCAAGGAACUCCUCACCAGGCAACAUCUUCUCCCACGUCUUCGAGAUCAGCAGAAACAGAUAGGGCUCAUAGAUAGGCACCUUGCAGUUGAACACGGCAAACCGAAGCUCACACCACAUGAUGUGUGAGACAUCAAGUGGCUGAGUCUGAGACAACCGAGCCUCCUCGCAAAUGAGCAUCAUAUCCACCAUAUAAGCAUGAACCUUGUCCUUGUCACCAAUGCGAGGGAACAAGGAGUUGCGGAAGAUGCGAUACAUGAUAUCCAGAAAAGAGUUAAGCACCAACCCCGUCUUGCCAUUGGCGAGUGCCUUCUCAACAUAGUAUGGUGCAAGCUUGUCCUUGUUGGCAGAUUCAGAGUUGGCAUGGGGGCGAACACCCACGGGAGUGUCGAGCCCGUCAUCAGGAACCUGGAGCAAAUCCAUGAACUCCUUCCAGGUAGCAGUCAGCUGACGGCCAUUGGUCAUCCAGGUCAUCCUCUGCUCCUCAUUCGAGUGAAAGUAUACUGAGGCAAAUAACUGACAGAUAAGCUCAGGGUCAUAGUCAAGGUGAAAGGAUAUCACAUGCUCAAUGCCAAACUGCUCCACCAAGUCCAGAGCCUCUCCAAAGUAUGCACGGAACUUGUCCUUCCUCAUGUGAUGCAUUUCAAUCCAUUUCACAUCCAUGUAGGUAUUCUGCUUGUUCUUGAUGACAUCCAGAUAAAUGAGAGUCUGUUGCUUGUUCCAAAACAGCUCACAACCUUUGACAGUGGCACGAGGGUGCACAUACGGGUGGAGUUGCCUGAUACAGACGUACUCAGAUUGGGGUAUCUCGUCCAUGCCCUUAGCAGGUUCCUUGUGCUUGCUAGCUGAUGUCUUGACAUUGUGCUUGGGGGCAGAAGAGCCCUCCGGUGCUUCACCUGGAUUGCGCAGACGCUUGGAGCCCGUGUCACGACUGGGAUUGGAAUGGCGAGAUCCACCACCUGAGACACGAACGCAAACACCAACGAAACGCAAAGAGGAUCAAUGCAAAGACCAUGGCAAAGCACAAGAAACACAUAGAAAGUAUACCUGAAAAGUUGCCAUGAGAUAGAUGUGAAGUACGGUAGUACUGCCAGAACCUGCGGUACUAAAAGUUGCCAUGAGAUAGAUGUGAAGUUCGGUAACGCAUCCUCGUCUCCACCAGCUCCACUUGUGGUUAUCUCUUCCCUUUACUUUGUGCAGGCUAUUAUUGUGUUGUAUCCUUUGCUUCCACUUGUUGUUGUUGUUGUUGUUGUUGUUGUUGUUGUUGUUGUUGUUGUUGUUAUUAGCAUCAUAUAGGUUGCUCACCUAUUUGCACAUGUAGACAACCUAUUUGUUGCUAAACCUAAUUUGUUAGGAAAAGCUAAAAGUUGGUAGUUGCCUAUUCGCCCCCUCUAGUCAACCAUAUCAGUCCUUUUUUAGAGGUGAGCUCAUAGGUAUGUUUGUUCCUCUAGAAAGCUGGGCUCUGACGGUUAUGGCAUGGAUGAAGAAGCUGUCCACCAUACUGAAGGUGAUUCGUGUUGAGAUACCGGUGUAGGAACCGGGGUUGUACCAUUUGUCGCCACCAAGGCCGCCGCGGACCAUGUUAGGGAUGUACCUGUAUCGAGUGUUCGUGCAUGUUGAAGAGGGGUCAAUCCAUCAAUCAAAGUCCUGUUGUCACCGGUGGUGCCAGGGUCCGUCGACGACGUCCAUUAUAGGAGCCAAUGUCAGACUUUCCCCGUGUUGCUCGGCACAAUGGAUGGCACAGGGCCUACUCCACCGUGCGGCGGGGGCCACUGCUUCUUUGCGAGAAGAGGCAGGGUUGGCUGCAUCGAUGUGCUCUAAUUUGAGGUAUCAACUGAAUCUUCUCAGAUACUAUUUAAAUUCGAGCUAUCAGUGUGAAGCACUGAUGUGCCAGUACAUUUGAUUGUGACUUGUUCUAUUUUUGUAUCUGAACUUCUUUUAGAAAGGGGUGUACGUCAACUUAAUGUGCUAGUAGAAAUUAUUGUGUUGUCUGUCUGUUUUGUUUGCACAACAUUCAAGAUAUUUCCUCGUCAUUGAUAAAGACGACAAACGAUUAUGUACAAGUCCAUUGGUUUCAACAUAGCCCUACCCGUAGCGAUCGACCGCUUCCUCCCUGAUUGUGUCGUCUGCGUGAAAUUUUUGUAUGCAAGUUCAGUGUGCUAUGAUGUUCUAUAUGAUUGUGUCAACUAUAUAAGUUUUUACGAGCAUCGACCGAUGGGUCUCUCUCUCUCACACACACACACAAACAAACACACACAUACACACUCACACACACAUGUGGGACCGUUGAAUUAUUUCUUCGCUCGUGACAGCUUUUAAUUAGGUUCCACUAUACUCUAACUUUUUUCUUAAGUUAUUAAUUGAGCUCGGUGACUUCAAAAACUUGUACAGAAGCCUUGUUUGGCCCUUUUCACGCAUCAUUGAAUGUGGGCUAAGUAGCCAUGUAAAGUUGUACUAUACUACAGAGGCCUUUUUCGUUGAACAUGAGCAAUGCAACUGGACCGACAAUUGUACACAAGAUCCUAAAAUAUGCGCAGCCUAGCUUAUGUUUAUUUUAACAAAAUGCACAACUCAGUUCAUUUUUUAUAUAAUAAGAUUACCAAGCCCAACAUAAUUUUUUAAUAAUAUUCCUAUCUCAAUAUUAUUUUUUAUAUGAAAUGCUCAGUCCAGACCAUCAUUGUUUUUUCACCCAUCCCAGAAAAUGGGUCCAUUUCUACUAAAAUCAAAUGCCUUGUAAAUUAUCAGAAAUGAUAAAUGGGUUGCAUGUACGCAAUAUUAUUUUUCACCCAGCCCAGUAAAUAGUUGUAUUUGAAUAAACAAUCAAAUGCGCUGUAAAUUAUUAUAAAUAGUAAAUCGUCUAUUAUUAUUUUUACCCAGCCCAGGAAAUAGAUUAGUUUUUGAGUCAAAGCCCGGGAAAUAGAUGUAUUGGCAAACAAAAUGAAAUGGGCCGGAAAACCUAAAUAAAUGGGCUGCAUUCCGCCACAACCUUUAAAGCUGACUUUAUUGGCCCACUAGACGAAGCUUGUGCAAGGUGAUGUCCAUUUAGUGAACAAAAGAUUUAAUGGUCUAAAAUAAAGUCAACAAAUUAUUCUGACAUCUUUAGUCAUUGGAUUCAAUCCAACGACGAUCCUGCUUCUUUAAUCUCUGAUCUAGUUGCUCUUGCUCGAGUCGCCAAAACCAUCGCCGGCUGGAGCACCUGCAUCUGCCUCCCGUGGCCGGCUGUGCUGCCGCGCAUGCGUCACCACCCCACAAAACUACCGACGGUGGCUAGGUCAUACAUGUACUCACCCACACCUUCCAUUAUUCUCCGGCGAAGGCAGCCUCACCCGGCAGCCGAACCAGUCCCUCGUGCUCCCCUCCGCCAGGGACUCCAGUGCCCCUUGUUCCAUGACUCCAGAUCAUUCCCAUCUUAGGCCUCAGCAUCGUCCACCGUUGUGGUCCACUCAACAAUGCAUGGUCAACAACGAGAGCCAACAUGGAGUACGUCGAGAGUCUAACAGCUGGGAACCACCAGCUACAUCUUCGCACGCAAGCUAGUGCCUCCUUAUUAUGCGGGAAUAAAUGAUUCCUCCCCCUGACAGGUUGGACCCACCAGCUACAAUCUUCGCACACAAGGAUGUUCAUUAUUAUUACGUGAAAAAACGUUCCCCCAUGACAGCCGGGACCCAUGAGCUAGAUCUUCGCGCAGAAGGAGUGCCUCCUUAUUACGCGCAAGAAAAAUUAUUUCUCCCCCUGCUAGCUUGGACCCACCUGAUUCGGAGGCUGACUUGUGGGCCUACUAAAUUGACAUGUACACAGGUCUUUGUUAACCUAGUCAAGAAAUGAUUCUAGCAGGAGUGACCGUUGGAUUUCCAACGGCCGCGCUACUUCUUCAAUCUCCGAUCUUCUUGCUCCAGCCGCCGAAACUAGCGCCGGCUGGACCGCCUGCUACUGCCUCCCGUGGCCGGCUGUGCUGCCAGUGCUGGCCAUGCCAUCCCUCUACUCACCCACACCUCCUGGUAUUCUCCGGCGACGGCAGCCUCACACCGCAGCCGAAGCAGCCAACCCUCGUACUUCCCUUCGGGGCAUCCACUACCGUGCCUUCCCCGGUUCCCUAUCAUUCCCUUCCUAGGCCUCGCCGUCGUGCACCACCUUGCUGCUCUCGGCGCGGCGUGGUCAGCAUCAUCAACGAAUGACAGCCAUCGGAAGAUGACUGUACACGGUGACGCUGAGAGCUGGACCCACCAGCUACAUCUUCAGACGCAAGGAAGUGCCUCCAUAUUACGCGCAAAAAGAUGAUUCCUCCCGCUGACAGCUAGGACCCACCAGUUAUAUCUUCGCAUGCAAAGAAGUCCUCCUUAUCCUCCCUGACUGCUGGGACCCACCCGGUCGAAGCGUACGCAACGUUGUUUGGCUGGUCGCCAACGUGUACGUACAUACUGGCCGAUCGGUGUCUUUGCAAUGAUGACCCGUGGCCGAGAAAGCAGCAACACAUGUAGUAGUAGAGCCCCCGAUGUAGCAGUUUAGGCAAUCCAGUCUAAACCGUGUACACGUACAUACAACCAGAUGCCAAAAAAUAUGGCCACGUACGUACAUACGGGCAGGGUCUCGAACGCCUACUCGUGCAUACAUACAACCAGGGCUCGUGUACAUGGAAAGGCAGGGGAUGGCAGCAAUGGCGUCCUGUUAAUCGGCAUCCAACUGGCUGGGUCGGAACGGAGAAACUAUGUUGUGUUCAUCGGGAAGCAACGUAGUGCGUCGUGUUCAUCGGGAACGAAUCGGCUUGGACGAAACAUCCGAAAUGAGGCCUGACAAACCGCAGAAUGGAGGAAACGGACUUGUGUUUGAGCUCCUAUAGUUGAAAUGGGGUGUUGUUGAUCGAUAUGGGUGUGGUACCGCAAAACGAGGAAACAGACUUGUGUUGGAGCGCCUACGGUCGAAAUGGGGUCCUAUUCAUCGGGAGGGAUGUGGCUUACCGCAAACCGAGACUCCACGGGCUACUGUUCAUCCACUGUCUAGUGCCUCACUCCAACGUCCACGCCUCCACGGGCUACUGUUUCAUCCACCGUCGACUUCCUCCAGCCUCCACUUGCUACUGUUCAUCCAUCGUCGACUUCCUCCAGCCUCCACCAGCCAUUGUUCAUUCACGGGCUACUGUUUAUUCAGCCUCCACUAGCUAUUGUUCAACCAGCCCUCCACGGGGUCCUGUUCAUCCACCCUCCACCGGCUACUAUUCAACCAGCCCUCCACGGGGUCAUGUUCAUCCACCACCAACCGGCUCGGGUGUGGCCGCCUCCUAGAUCGGCCGGGGUCCUGUUCAUCCAGUAGCAACGGCCUACCACCACCACAGGGUCCUGUUCAUCCAACCCCUACCGGGAACUGUUCAUCCAACCGAACAAUGGUCACUAUUCAUCAAGAGGCAGGUUCGAUCGGCUUGAGUUAGCAACACUAGCAAAGGAAUCACUCGGGUUCAGUUAACAACCAAGGGAUCGAUCGCUCAGGUUCAGUAACAUAACCAGUAUAAUCACUCGGGUUCAGUAACAUAGCUAGUGCAAUCGCUCGGGUUCAGUAAGCGAAUGCCUCACGUGCUCGGGUUCAGUUAGAUCCCAAUGCCUUACACACACGCACGUACGUGUACGAGAGAAACGUGCAAACCUUUGUGCAUCGCUCGGCCUCGACCACCCACCAUAACUGGGAACUCCCUGAUAUUUUCCUCGCCCUCGCUUUUACCAUGAUUUUUCCUAUCAUGGGUGGCCCAAAGAAUGUCAUACAGGUGUGUGCCCGGCCCGCCCAGGGCGAAAAUCCCAUUUUCUGUCAUGAUUUUUUGUCAUAGAAGUAGGAGCCCACCACAUCUAUGAUGAUACGUGCUUUUGUCGCAAUUAUCAUCAUAGAAGUGUCAUAAGCAUGACAGAAAAAAAA